UUUUUUUUGGUGUUAUUUUAGUAUGAACUCUUGGGUAGAUCGAUCAGAAAGGAUAACUUGGUGUUAUUUUAGUAUGAAUACUUGGAUAGAUAGAUCAGAAAGAAUAACUUUGGUGUGGUUUCGUACCUUACAAAAAAAUUCUUCUUAUGUUAGCCGCUAGAUAAGAACUUUGGAGGGAUUCUUUAUCGCAAUCUAAGGAUGGUUAUAUGAACCAAUUAGAUUAGCAUUGUUGAGAGAUUGCACUAGCGAAAGUACGGAGCCUAGGCCACAUUUUCAAGCAUUGCAAUACCGUUUGUGCUCAUUUUUAUCGUUCGCUACCUUGCUAUUUUUAUUUAUUCAGAUUAUAAAAAUAUAUUUCUACCAUCCCUAUUACACUUUUAUCACCAUCUCUUCGCCUAACUAGUGCACCUGUACAAUUUACCAUUGUAUUGGGUGUGUUGGGUGUUGGGGAACGUAGUAAUUUCAAAAAAAAUCCUACGCACACGCAAGAUCAUGGUGAUGCAUAGCAACGAGAGGGGAGAGUGUCGUCCACGUACCCUCAUAGACCGUAAGCGGAAGCGUUAUGACAACACGGUUGAUGUAGUCGUACGUCUUCACGAUCGACCGGUCCAAGUACUGAACGUACGGCACCUUCGCGAUCUUCACACAUUCAGCUCGGUGAUGUCACAUGAACUCACGAUCGAGUAAAGCUUCGAGGGAGAGUUCUGUCAGCACGAUGGCGUGAUGACGGUGUUGAUGAAGCUACCAACGCAGGGCUUCGCCUAAGCACCGCUACGAUAUGGUCAAGGUGGAUUAUGGUGGAGGGGGGCACUGCACACGGCUAAAAGAUCGAUGAUCAACUUAUGUGUCCAUGGGGUGCCCCUUGCCUCAGUAUAUAAAGGAGGAGAGGAGGGGAGGCCGGCCGGCCCUAGAGGCGCGCCCAAGUGUGGAGUCCUACUAGGACUCCAAGUCCUAGUAUGAGUCCACCAAGAGGAAGGGAGGGAGAAGGAAGGAGAGGGAGGAAAGGAGGAAAGGAGGGCCGACCCCCUAGUCCAAUUCGGUUUGGGCUAGGGGGGCGCGCACCCUGCCUUGUCCUGCCUCCUCUCUUCCACCACUUGGCCCAUGAGCCCUAAUACUUCUUCCCUCGUAUUUCCGUAACUCCCCGGUAAUCCGAAAAAUACCCGAAUCACUCGGAACCUUUCCGAUGUCCGAAUAUAGUCGUCCAAUAUAUCGAUCUUUACGUCUCGACCAGUUUGAGACUCCUCGUCAUGUCCCCGAUCUCAUCCGGGACUCCGAACAAACUUCGGUAAUCAAAUCACAUAACUCAUAAUAUAAAUCGUCAUCGAACGUUAAUCGUGCGAACCCUACGUGUUCGAGAACUAUGUAGACAUGACCGAGACACAUCUCCGAUCAAUAACCAAUAGCGGAAACUGGAUGCUCAUAUUGGCUCCUACAUAUUCUAUGAAGAUCUUUAUCGGUCAAACGCAUAACAACAUACGUUGUUCCCUUUGUCAACGGUAUCUUACUUGCCCGAGAUUCAAUCAUCGGUAUCACCAUACCUAGUUCAUUCUCGUUACCGACAAGUCUCUUUACUCAUUCCGUAAUGCAUCUUCCCGCAACUAACUCAUUACUCACAUUGCUUGCAAGGCUUAUAGUGAUGUGUAUUACCGAGAGGGCCCAGAGAUACCUCUCCGGCAAUCGAAGUGACAAAUCCUAAUCUCGAUCUAUGUCAACUCAACAAGUAUCAUCGGAGACACCUAUAGAGCACCUUUAUAAUCACCCAGUUAUGUUGUGACGUUUGGUAGCACAUAAAGUGUUCCUCCGGUACUCGGGAGUUGCAUAUUAUCAUAGUCAUAGGAACAUGUAUAAGUCAUGAAGAAAGCAAUAGCCAUAUACUAAACGAUCAAGUGCUAAGCUAACGGAAUGUCCAAGUCAAUCACAUCAUUCUCCAAUGAUGUGAUCCUGUUAGUCAAAUGAUAACUCAUGUCUAUGGCUAGGAAACAUAACCAUCUUUGAUUCAACUAGCUAGUCAAGUACAGGCAUACUAGUGACACUCUGUUUGUCUAUGUAUUCACACGUGUACUAAGUUUCCGGUUAAUACAAUUCUAGCAUGAAUAAUAAACAUUUAUCAUGAAAUAAGGACAUAAAUAAGAACUUUAUUAUUGCCACUAGGGCAUACUUCCUUCAGUCUCUCACUUGCACUAGAGUCAAUAUUCUAGUUCACAUCACCAUGUGAUUUAACACCAAUAUUCACAUUUGUAUGUGAUUAACACCCAUAGUUCACAUCAUCAUGUGAUCAACACCCAAAGGGUUUACUAGAGUCAAUAAUCUAGUUCACAUCGCUAUGUGAUUAACACCCAAAGAGUACUAAGGUGUUAUCAUGUUUUGCUCGUGAAAGAAGUUUAGUCAAUGGGUCUGUCAUAUUUAGAGCCGUAUGUAUUUUGCAAAUAUUUUAUGUCUACAAUGCUCUGCAUGGAGCUACUCUAGCUAAUUGCUCCCACUUUCAAUAUGUAUCUAUAUUGAGACUUAGAGUCCUCUGGAUUGGUGUAAAAGCUUGCACCAAUGUAACUCUUUACGAUGAACUCUUUUCUCACCUUCAUAAUCGAGAAACAUUUCCUUAGUCCUUACUAGGAUAUUCUUGACCAUUGUCCAGUGAUCUACUCCUAGAUCAAAAUUGUACUCCCUUGCCAAACUCAGGGCAAGGUAUACAAUAGGUCUGGUACACAGCAUAGCAUACUUUAUAGAACCUAUGAAUGAGGCAUAGGGAAUGAGUUUUUAUUCACUUUCUAUUUUCUGUCAUGGUCGGGUUUUGAGUCUUACUCAACUUCGCACCUUGCAACACAGGCAAGAACUCCUUCUUUGACUGUUCCAUUUUGAACUACUUCAAAUCUUAUCAAGGUAUGUACUCAUAGAAAUAUCUUAUCAAGCGUCUUAAUCUAUCUCUAUAGAUCUUGAUGCUCAAUGUGUAAGCAGCUUCACCGAGGUCUUUCUUUGAAAAACUCCUUUCAAACAUUCCUUUAUGCUUUCCAGAAAAUUAUACAUUAUUUCUGAUCAACAAUAUGUCAUUCACAUAUACUUAUCAGAAAGGCUUUAGUGCUCCCACUCACUUUCCUGUAAAUACAGGCUUCACUGCAAGUCUGUAUAAAACUAUAUGCUUUGAUCAACUCAUCAAAGUGUAUAUUCCAACUCCGAGAUGCUUGCACCAGUCCAUAGAUGGAUCGCUAAUGCUUACACACUUUAUUAGCACCUUUAGGAUUGACAAAACCUUCCGGUUGCAUCAUAUACAACUCUUCUUUAAUAAAUCCAUUAAGGAAUGCAGUUUUGACAUCCAUUUGCCAGAUUUCAUAAAAUGUGGCAGUUGCUAAUAUGAUUCAGACAGACUUAAGCAUAGAUACGAGUGAGAAACUCUCAUCGUGGUCAACACAUUGAACUUGUCAAAAACCUUUUGCGACAAUUCUAGCUUUAUAGAUAGUAACACUACUAUCAGUGUUCGUCUUCCUCUUGAAGAUCCAUUUAUUUUCUAUGGCUUGCCGAUCAUCGGGCAAGUCCACCAAAGUCCACACUUUGUUCUCAUACAUGGAUCCCAUCUCAGAUUUCAUGGCCUUCAAGCCAUUUCACGGAAUCUAGGCUCGUCAUCCCUUCCUCAUAGUUCGUAGGUUCAUCAUGGUCUAGUAACAUGACUUCCAGAACAGGAUUACCGUACCACUCUGGUGUGGACUGUACUUUGGAAGACCUACGAGGUUCUGUAGUAACUUAAUCUGAAGUUUCAUGAUCAUCAUCAUUAGCUUCCUCACUAAUUGGUGUAGAAAUCACUGGAACUGAUUUCUAUGAUGAACUACUUUCCAAUUCGGGAGAAGGUACAAUUACCUUAUCAAGCUCUACUUUCCUCCCACUCACUUCUUUCUAGAGAAACUCCUUCUCUAGAAAGGAUCCAUCUUAGCAACGAAUAUCUUGCCUUCGGAUCUGUGAUAGAAGGUUUACCCAACAGUUUCCUUUGGGUAUUCUAUGAAGAUGCACUUCUCCGAUUUGGGUUCGAGUUUAUCAGGUUGAAACUUUUUCACAUAAGCAUCGCAGCCCCAAACUUUAAGAAACGACAACUUUGGUUUCUUGCCAAACCACAGUUCAUAAGGCGUCGUCUCAAUGGAUUUUGAUGGUGCCCUAUUUAAAGUGAAUGCAGUUGUCUCUAAUGCAUAACCCCAAAACGAUAGUGGUAAAUCGGUAAGAUACAUCUUAGAUCGCACCAUAUCCAAUAAAGUGCGGUUUCGACGUUCGGACGCACCAUUACGAUGUGGUGUUCCAUGUGGCGUGAGCUCUGAAACUAUUCCACAUUGUUUUUAAAUGAAGGCCAAACUCGUAACUCAAAUAUUCUCCUCUACGAUCAGAUUGUAGAAACUUUAUUUUCUUGUAAUGAUGAUUCUCCACUUCAUUCUGAAAUUAUUUGGACUUUUCAAAUGUUUCAUACUUGUGCUUCAUUAAGUAGAUAUACCCAUAUCUGCACAAAUCAUCUGCGAAGGUCAGAAAAUAAUGAUACCUGCCACGAGCAUCAACACUCAUUGGACCGCAUACAUUGGUAUGUAUUAUUUCCACCAAGUUAGUAGCUCGUUCCAUUGUUUCGGAGAACGGAGUUUUAUUCAUCUUGCCCAAAAGGCACGGUUCGCAAGCAUCAAAUGAUUCAUAACCAAGUGAUUCCAAAAAUCCAUCUUUAUGGAGUUUCUUCAUGCGCUUUACACCGAUAUGACCCAAACGGCAGUGCCACAAAUAAGUUGCACUAUCAUUAUCAACUUUGCAUCUUUUGGCAUCAAUAUUAUGAAUAUGUGUAUCGUUACGAUCGAGAUCCAACAAACUAUUUUUCUUGGGUGUAUGACCAUCAAAGGUUUUAUUCAUGUAAACAGAACAACAAUUAUUCUCUGACUUUAAAUGAAUAACCAUAUUGUAAUAAACAUGAUCAAAUCAUAUUCAUGCUCAACGCAAAAGCCAAAUAACAUUUAUUUAGGUUUAACACUAAUCCCGAAAGUAUAGGGAGAGUGUGAUGAUGAUCAUAUCAAUCUUGGAACCACUUCCAACACACAUCAUCACUUCAUGCUCAACUAGUCUCUGUUUAUUCUGUAACUCCUGUUUCGAGUUACUAAUUUUUAGCAACCGAACAAGUAUCAAAUACCCAGGGGCUACUAUAAACACUAGUAAGGUACACAUCAAUAACCUGUAUAUCAAAUAUACCCUUGUUCACUUUUCCAUCCUUCUUAUCCACCAAAUAUUCAGGGCAUUUUCGCUUCCAGUGACCAUUUCCUUUGCAGUAGAAGCACUCAGUUUCAGGAUUUAGUCUAGCUUUGGGCUUCUUCACGGAAGUGGCAACUUGCUCGCCAUUCUACAUGAAGUUCUAUUUCUUGAAACUAGUGGUCUUGUUAAUCAUGAACACUUGAUGCUUUUUCUUGAUUUCUACCUUCAUCGAUUUCAUCAUCAUGAAAAGCUCGGGAAUCGUUUUUGUCAUCCCUUGCAUACUAUAGUUCAUCACAAAGUUCUACUAACUUGGUGAUGGUGACUAGAGAACUUUUUCAAUCACUAUCUUAUCUGAAUUAACUCCCAUUUGAUUCAAGCGAUUGUAGUACCCAGACAAUCUAAGCACAUGCUCACUGCUUGAGCUAUUCUCCUCCAUCUUUUAGCUAUAGAACUUGUUGGAGACUUCAUAUCUCUCAACUCGGGUAUUUUCUUGAAAUAUUAACUUCAACCCCUGGAACAUCUCAUAUGGUCCAUGACGUUCAGAACGUCUUUGAAGUCCCGAUUCUAAGCCGUUAAGCAUGGUGUACUAAACUAUCCAGUAGUCAUCAUAUUGAGCUAGCCAAACAUUCAUAACGUCUGCAUUUGCUCCUGCAAUAGGUCUGUCAGCUAGCGGUGCAUCAAGGACAUAAUUCUUCUGUGCAACAAUGAAGAUAAACCUCAGAUCACGGACCCAGUCCAUAUCAUUGCUACUAUCAUCUUUCAACUUAGUUUUCUCUAGGAACACAUAUAAAACAUAGGGAAGCAACAACGCGAGCUAUUGAUCUACAAGAUUAUUUGCAAAAUACUAUCAGGACUAAGUUCAUGAUAAAUUAAAGUUCAAUUAAUCAUAUUACUUAAGAACUCCCACUUAGAUAGACAUCCCUCUAAUCAUCUAAGUGAUCACGUGAUCCAAAUCAACUAAACCAAAACCGAUCAUCACGUGAGAUGGAGUGGUUUUCAAUGGUGAACAUCACUAUGUUGAUCAUAUCUACUAUAUGAUUCAUGUUAGACCUUUCGGUAUCAGUAUUCCGAGGCCAUAUCUGCAUAUGCUAGGCUCGUCAAGUUUAACCCGAGUAUUUCUGCGUGUGCAAAACUGGCUUGCACCCGUUGUAGGCGAACGUUGAGCUUAUCACACCCGAUCAUCACGUGGUGUCUCGGCACGACGAACUUUGGCAACGGUGCAUACUCAGGGAGAACACUUGUACCUUGAAAUUUAGUGAGAGAUCAUCUUAUAAUGCUACCAUCAAUCAAAGCAGAAUAAGAUGUAUAAAAGAUAAACAUCACAUGCAAUCAAAAUAUGUGAUAUGAUAUGGCCAUCAUCAUCUUGUGCCUUUGAUCUCCAUCUCUAAAGCAUCGUCAUGAUCUCCAUCGUCACCGGUAUGACACCAUGUCUCUAUCAUCUUGAUCUAUAUCAAUGUGCCGUGACAUGGUUGUCUCGCCAACUAUUGCUCUUGCAACAAUUGCUAUCGCAUAGCGAUAAAGUAAAGCAAUUAUUUGGCGCUUGCAUAUUAUGCAAUAAAGGGACAACCAUAAGGCUUCUGCCAGUUGCCGAUAACUUCAACAAAACAUGAUCAUCUCAUACAACAACUUAUAUCUCAUCACGUCUUGACCAUAUCACAUCACAACAAGCCCUGCAAAAACAAGUUAGAUGUCCUCUACUUUGUUGUUGCAAGUUUUACGUGGCUGCUACGGGCUUAGCAGGAACCGCUCUUACCUAUGCAUCAAAAACCACAACAAUUUUUCGUCAAGUAUGUGAUGUUUUAACCUUCAACAAGGACCGGGUGUAGCCACACUCGAUUCAACUAAAGUUGGAGAAACUGACACCCACCAGCCACCUAUGUGCGAAGCACAUCGGUAGAACCAGUCUCGCGUAAGCGUAUGCGUAAUGUCGGUCUGAGCCACUUCAUCCAACAAUACCGCUGAAUCAAAGUAUGACAUGCUGGUAAGCAGUAUGACUAGUAUCGCCCACAACUCACUUGUGUUCUACUCGUGCAUAUAACAUCUACGCAUAAACCUGGCUCAGAUGCCACCAUUGGGGAAUGUAGUAAUUUCAAAAAAAAUCCUACGCACACGCAAGAUCAUGGUGAUGCAUAGUAACGAGAGGGGAGAGUGUCGUCCACGUAUCCUCGUAGACCGUAAGCGGAAGCAUUAUGACAACGCGGUUGAUGUAGUCGUACGUAUUCAUGAUCGACCGAUCCAAGUAUGUACGGCACCUCCGCGAUCUGCACACGUUCAGCUCGGUGACGUCCCACGAACUCACGAUCCAGUAGAGCUUUGAGGGAGAGUUCCGUCAGCAUGAUGGCGUGAUGACGGUGUUGAUGAAGCUACUGACGCAGGGCUUCGCCUAAGCACCUCUACGAUAUGACCCAGGUGGAUUAUGGUGGAGGGGGCACUGCACACGGCUAAAAGAUCGAUGAUCAACUUGUGUGUCCAUUGGUGCCCCUUGCCUCAGUAUAUAAAGGAGGAGAGGAGGGAAGGCCGGUCGGCCCUAGAGGCGUGCCCAAGUGUGGAGUUCUACUAGGACUCCAAGUCCUAGUAGCAGUCCACCAAGAGGAAGGGAGGGAUAAGGAAGGAGAGGGAGGAAAGGAGGAAAGGGGGGCCGGCCCCCUAGUCCAAUUUGGUUUGGUCUAGGGGGCCACGCGCCCUGCCUUGUCCUGCCUCCUCUCUUCCACCACUUGGCCCAUGAGGCCCAAUACUUCUUCCCCCAUAUUCUCGUAACUCCCCGGUACUCCGAAAAAUACCCGAAUCACUCGGAACCUUUUCGAUGUUCGAAUAUAGUCGUCCAAUAUAUCGAUCUUUACGCCUCAACCAUUUUGAGACUCCUCGUCAUGUCCCCGAUCUCAACCGGGACUCCGAACAAACUUCGGUCAUCAAAUCACAUAACUCAUAAUAUAAAUCGUGACCGAACGUUAAGCGUGCGGACCCUACGGGUUCGAGAACUAUGUAGACAUGACCGAGACACAUCUCUAGUCAAUAACCAAUAGCGGAACCUGGAUGCUCAUAUUGGCUCCUACAUAUUCUACGAAGAUCUAUAUCGGUCAAACCGCAUAACAACAUAUGUUGUUCCCUUUGUCAUCAGUAUGUUAUUUGCCCGAGAUUCGAUCAUCGGUAUCACCACACCUAGUUCAAUUUCGUUACCGGAAAGUCUCUUUACUCAUUCUGUAAUGCAUCAUCCCGCAACUAACUCAUUAGUCACAUUGCUUGCAAGGCUUAUAGUGAUGUGCAUUACCAAGAGGGCCCAGAGAUACCUCUCUGACAAUAGGAGUGAAAAAUCCUAAUCUCGAUCUAUGCCAACUCAACAAGUACCAUCGGAGACACUUGUAGAGCACCUUUAUAAUCACCCAGUUACGUUGUGACGUUUGGUAGCACACAAAGUGUUCCUCCGGUACUCAGGAGUUGCAUAAUCUCAUAAUCAUAGGAACGUGUAUAAGUCAUGAAGAAAGCAAUAGCAAUAUACUAAACGAUCAAGUGCUAAGCUAACGGAAUGGGUCAAGUCAGUCACAUCAUUCUCCAAUGAUGUGAUCCCAUUAAUCAAAUGACAACUCAUGUCUAUGGCUAGGAAACAUAACCAUCUUUGAUUCAAUGAGCUAGUCAAGUAGAGGCAUACUAGUGACACUCUUUUUGUCUAUGUAUUCACACAUGUACUAAGUUUCCAGUUAAUACAAUUCUAGCAUGAAUAAUAAACAUUUAUCAUGAAAUAAGGAAAUGAAUAAUAACUUUAUUAUUGCCUCUAGGGCAUAUUUCCUUCAUUGAGGACAUAAGAGACUCUUUGUUAUUUGGUUGCAGGGUUGUUUGAGAGAGACCAUCUUCAUCCUACGCCUCCCACGGAUUUAUAAACCUUAGGUCAUCUGCUUGAGGGAAAUUUGCUACUGUACUACAAAACUCUGGGCUUGGAGGCCCAACACGAGUAUACAAGAAUAAAGUUGCAUAGUAAACAUCAAGCUCUUUUCGGCCGCCGUUGCUGGGGAGGUGAGUGCAUGAAGCUAUAUCUUUAGAUCUUGCAAUUGAAUCGUUUAGUUUCUUGUUUUAUCACUAGUUUGGUUUGUAAAAGAAAACUACAAAAAAAUGGAAUUGAGGUAGCCUCAUAUUAUUCGUCUUUAUCAUGUCUUUCUUGAAAAUGAUGGAAAGGAAAAUUGUGCUCAAUUGAUAGAAGAGGAAUUCAAUAAAAGGGAAAUUUUCUACUGUCCUACAAAACUCCACGCUUGGGGGCACUCUUUGAGGUUCUUUGUGUUGGAUUGAGUAUUAUGAAUCUGAAUUUGUUUUGGUAUUAUUUUAGUACGAACUCUUGGGUAGAUUGAUCGGAAAGGAUAACUUGGUGUUAUUUUAGUACGAACUCUUGGAUAGAUCGAUUGGAAAGAAUAAUUUUUAGGUGGUUUCGUACCCUACAAACAAUUUCUUCUUAUGUGCUCCGCUAGAUAAGAACUUUGGAGUGAGUCUUCAUCACACUUUGAGGGAUGGUUAUAUGAUUCAAUUAGAUUAGCAUUAUUGAGAGACUGCACUAGCGAAAUUACAGACCCUAGGCCUUGCUUUCAAGCAUUGCAAUACCGUUUGUGCCCACUUUUAUCGUUUGUUACCUUGCUUUUUUUAUUUAUUCAGAUUAUAAAAAUAUAUUUCUACCAUCCAUAUUACACUUUUAUCACCAUCUCUUCGCCGAACUAGUGCACAUAUACAAUUUGCCAUUGUAUUGGGUGUGUUGGGGACACAAGAAAUUUCUUGUAUUUGGUUGCAGGUUUGUUUGAGAGUGACCAUCUUCAUCCUACGCCUCCCACGGAUUGAUAAACUAUAGGUCAUCCACUUGAGGGAAAAUUGCUACUGUCCUACAAAACUCUACGCUUGGAGGCCCAACACGAGUCUACAAGAAUAAAGUUGCAUAGUAGACAUCAACAACCCAGCAAGCUCGAAGGCUGUGGGUUGAGUUUGUAUUGAGCAGGACGGAGUGUAUAGGGCAUGGUUUGUCCAGUAGUUCGUCAAUGACCAUUCUGGAUCCUGCCAAUGGUUUCUUCUUUUUCUCGGAUGACUCAUAUUUAUCUGACCGUCAAGAGUAUGCGUGCUUCGCCCAGGCUUGUCUGGAUUCCUCGACAUGGAUUGACUCCGAUUGCUCUUGCUGAGCCUGCCAAGCAUCCUCGAUGGUGCAUUAUUUGCACACCAAGUCUGAUAACUUGGAGAAGUUUCAAAUGUGACGGCGGGCGAGGACGUUUAGGAUGCCUUUUUCUCGACAGUUAUGCCGAAAAGUUGCCAGAAUUUCCUGGCUUCCGUAGUUGCUUUCUUCUUUUUUACAAGGAGGAAUCUUGUCUAGAAUUGUCGGACUGUUUCUCCGGGUUGUUGUUUAACGUACGUUAGAUCCCAUAUGUUGGGCUGCCCCGAGUUACUUGGGUAGUACUCGACGUGGGGGUGGGUGGGACAAAAAAGUUGAUCCCAGCAGGGUGUGAGUCCAAAGUCUUAGUGGCCAAGCCCUAGGCCGAUGUGGAAUUCAACAUGCCGAGCUUUGAGUUUGGAUUUUCAGCUGGGCACAAUUGCGUAGACUCGAGGUUGUGUGUUGAAUCGGGCUAUGGCUUUGGACUCUCUCUGGGGCGGAGGUCGGAUUCCGAGCUAGGGAACGGAGCUCGAUGAUCGAAGAUCUGUAUCCCAUCCGCUCUUGGCUCCACAGAUAGUGGGGACAAGCCCUCGACUAGGUCUUCGAUAGUGGCGAUGAAGUGAGUGAUAGGCGGGAUGAAAAUUUCCCUGUCGUCGGCUGUAAGUAUGAUCUAAUCAUAAACCGAGGACUGGCCAUCGGUGAUCCCCAUGGCUUAGAUCUGAUCCAGUAUCUCGUUUAAUAGAGAGAGAUCUAUCGGAUCCAUAUUCUGGCAAUGCUCGGGGUUAAUAUGCAGUGUUGUUGUGCUGGAGCAUUUGAAAUCUCCCUGGGGUCGUUGUCGGUGUCAAAACCGGCGGAUCUCGGGUAGGGGGUCCCGAACUGUGCUUCUAGGCGGAUGGUAACAGGAGACAAGGGACACAAUGUUUUUACCCAGGUUCGGGCCCUCUCGGUGGAGGUAAAACCCUACUCCUGCUUGAUUAAUAUUGAUGAUAUGGGUAGUACAAGAGUAGAUCUACCACGAGAUCAAGGAGGCUAAACCCUAGAAGCUAGCCUAUGGUAUGAUUGUUUUUCGUCCUACGGACUAAAACCCUCCGGUUUAUAUAUACACCGGAGAGGGUUAGGGUUACACAGAGUCGGUUACAAUGGUAGGAGAUCUACAUAUCCGUAUCGCCAAGCUUGCCUUCCACACCAAGGAAAGUCCCAUCCGGACACGGGACGAAGUCUUCAAUCUUGUAUCUUCAUAGUCUAGGAGUCCGGCCAACGGUGAUAGUUCGGCUAUCCAGACACCCCCUAAUCCAGGACUCCCUCAGUAGCCCCUGAACCAGGCUUCAAUGACGACGAGUCCGGCGCGCAUAUUGUCUUCGGCAUUGCAAGGCGGGUUCCUUCUCUGAAUACUUCAUAGAAGAUUUUGAACACAAGGAUAGUGUACGGCUCCGCAAAACAAGUUCCACAUACCACCGUAGAGAGAAUGAUCUUUACACAAAUUUAAUCUGCUAACGUAUUUUGCGGCGUGACGUCACAUCACGGCCAAGCCUUUACUGGAAUUUUUACUGUCCCACCUCAGCGCGUUUAGCGAGGUAGUUUCCUUGGCACGUCUUGUCAAAGCGAAGAUCGUGCCCCCUUAUUCCAGGAUUCUCAUCAAUACGGGCGUGGGUAACCCAGUCGUGCCUGCUGGCGCGCCUCCUCUAUCGAAAGCGAGUCCCGAACGGUCAUGGGGAGGGCUCUUGGUAUCCAACCUCUUUAUAACGAGACCAAGGCCUGCUCCUUUUUUUCAAUCUCAAUCAAAUCCGCCCCUCGCCUCGAGUUCCAACACCCAAAGCUCUAGAUUCAGGCGCUUCAGAGCUCCGAGGAUGUCCGGUUCUGACCUGCAAGGCCGGUGGAUGCCUUCCUCCAUCAUGGAGGAAGACGUGCUAAAGCUGAGAGACGCCCGGUAUCUGACCGGCGAAAUUGCGCACAGGCUACCUGCUCAAGGGCAGGUUACUCCCACUCCCAAGCCUGGCGAGAGCGUGGUGUUCAUGUCUCACUUCCUUCAGGGGUUAGGCUUCCUGAUGGACCCCUUCGAGAGGGGGCUCAUGUUUUAUUAUGGGCUAGAAUUUCAUGAUUUGGAUCCGGAGUCUAUCCUCCACAUCUCAUCGUUUAUUGUCGUAUGCGAAGCCUUCCUCCGCAUUACCCCUCACUUCGGGUUGUGGCUCAAAACCUUCAAAGUGCAACCGAAGAAGAUCAGGGGGCAGCUGGCAGAGUGCGGAGGGGUUGUCAUAAGCAAGAAUGUUGAUGCUCCAUGGCCCGAGGGCUCUUUUCAAGAGGAGACUAGUUUGUGGCAACAGGAGUUGUUCUACAUCACCGCUCCCAGGGGCACCAGAUGGGUGGCGCCACCUGCCUUUCGCUCGGGCCCUCCACAAUGGCUGGCAUCAUGGGUCAACAAGGGGCUUGACUGGGGGCCGUCCAAGGAUGUACCACUGUUGCAGGGCCGUAUUCGAGACCUCUAAGAGAGGGAGAUCAAUCUGGUUGUAGUGGCGCAGGUCAUGCUAAUUCAGCGCCUUCUACCCUGCAAACGUCACCCCCUCCGCCUGUGGGAAUUCAAUCCGGAGGGACCACGAGCUCUCCAACACUUCAUGGGUGCGACGCCCGUGGAGAUGUAUAAAUUGUUCUUCGGAUCACAAGAGAUGUGUCCGGACUUGACCGAGGACGCAGGUCUGAGCUACAAUCGCCCGGAUACUCAAGUAAGUAGUCAUGUGCCCGGACACGCUGUCCAUAUAUUUAUCAUAAACUUCUCCUUUAAAGAGUUAUCCCUUGAAUAGGAGUGGAUAGCAAAAGCAAAACUAAUAAGGUGUCCGGCCCCCCUCCCUGAGACCACACCGGAUCCUGUGUUAACCAAGAUGCUGGAGGCCGCGCCUUUGGAAGAGGGCGAUGGGGGGAACAGGAAAACUACUGCCUCCGCUAAGGAGGCUCUCAAGAAAGGGGGGAUCGAGAAUCCCUCCCUCUAGGGGGGGGAAGAGGACCGCUUCUGAAGAUCCGGAGGCCAAGGCCUCAAAGCGGGGGAAGAAAUCCUCACCAGAGGGUCCUGCGCCGGGAGAGGCCCCGGUCGCACUAUUUCCCCAAGGAAAUCAGCCCUCUAGAAAGCCGUAAGUAGAAAGGAGAGUUUUGUAAUAAGGGACAUCCCUGUUUUUAUUUCUGAAGAUAAAUGAAGUUUUACCUUGUAGUUCGGAUCUCAGCCCUUCUUAGCAGAGCUCGUCUUCAGGUGAUCUUCGUCCGGAGAUGAUGGAGAGCGAAACGCCUCCAUCUGCCGCACCGUCAGGCGGGGCGGACGACCCUGAGGUGUCAUCGCGGAGGGUUUCCUCGAGUCCGGCGGGGCCGGAAGGUUCGGCACCAACUAGUGUACGGUCGGCGGAGCUGAAGGAUCUGCUCGGGUGAGCGUCUAUCUCAGAAGAUCACCGUACGUCAAUGGGUACGGUGAUUGAAAGGAUUUCAUCCGCUGAGAGCGGAUUGCAUGAAGCCGUCAGAAGUUUACUGACGGGGUUUGAGGUACGCAAAAAUGAUAUACCUUCUAACAGUUUUGCAUAUAGAAUGCGCCCUUUAUAGAUAGUAGCCCCUGAGACGCGGUACGUUGUCAAAGGUGACAGCGUGUCGAGGAUCAUAAUCUCAGUUGUAAGAUGUCGCCCUUCCUAUAUAGGUGGAGGAGCGUUCGGUGGCCAGCCGUACUGAUGGAUUUGCCGAACUGAAACGGCAACUUGACGUUGCGGAUGCGGACAUCAUGCUGGUCAAUAAGCGACUUGAUGAGUCACAAGGUAUGUGGCUUCUCCGCGGACACCUGGUAAGGGAGCCUGACGCCCGUGCCUUACAACAUGUAUGCUUAAUGCAGAUGGUGCUGCUGCUAUGGAGGACCUUUGGGCGGAGCUCGCCCGAGCCAAGGAGCAAGCCAGAAAAAGUAAUGCGGCUUCCUUGAAGGCGGUCGAAGAGCUAAAAGCCGAACAGGCUGCUCACUGCCGAAGCAGGGAGGAAAUGGCCAAGAUGGCUGUGAAGUUAAAGAAUGCUGCCGACCGCUGCCAGCUUCUUGAAAAAGAAGAUCGAGUGGUGCAAGAGGACCUGAAGAAGGUCACUGCCAGGCCAAGGAUGCUCGCUCUGCGAUGAGAGCUAUGAAGGAGGAGCUACAUCAGGCCGGAGAUAUCGCGGCUGGAAAGCCCUUUCUGCUGCGGAGGAAAUUCGUGGAUCCUAAAUAUGCUCAGCUGGACCGAUUGUGGAGUGUGGAGGAUGCUUAUCUCGACCUAGCGGCAAGUGCCGCGGACGCGGCCAAACACUUCCAAGAUCAUCAGGAUCGCAAAGUGGAAAAGGUUUUUUGGUCACAGUUCCAUAAUCCGGAGCGCCCACUUCCCUUAACCGAUCGCUUGGCCGAAUGGGCGGAGCUGAAUAGGUUAUCCGGACUUGCCAUGAAGUCUGUCGUGACUCAUUUGUGGCCAAAGAGGCCCGAGCCGAGGAGUUAUUUUGGCUUGGUGCAGCAGUUCCUUGGUGCGGUGCCGCAUAUUAGUGCAAUGAAGCGGUCAGCAUGCAUAGAGGGUGCGCAGAUGGCUCUCGCUCGUGUCAAGACAUACUGGGCAGAGAUGAAGGCCACUGGCGUUGCAUCGCAGGAUUCGGACCGAAGCCGAGUACCUGCCGAGCACUACUUUGAGGAAGUCCUUCAGGGCGCUCGUUUAAUAGAGACGCAGUGCUCGAAGGAUAUUAUGUUCCAAUGACAUGUAUGAUUUGUGAAGCAAUGUUUCAAUAGAAUAUAAGGGCUUUUUAUACUUGUGUGUUCAAGUAGUACAGUACCUCCUAUGCGGCCAUUAAUGUAUAUGUAUAUAACCUGAAAGAUAGCAGUCCUUGGCUUCAGCCCCCACGCACAUAGUGCGGGGGUGUUUGCAAAAAAGCACAUUUUCACACUUUAUCCAACGUCUUGGUCCUGUGAAGGAGGUGAUAGCGUACCAAACUAGGCAACCGGACUAUAAUUCUUUAUCACUUUCACUUAGCCAUAGGAGUUCGAUGGUGGGGCUACUAUAUAGCCCCUAGGGGCACUGUGCUCUCUCGAAUUCGGGGCGCGUAUGUGCCUGACCGGGAAACGAUCCUUUGUUAAUGCGGAGGAAUUCUAAACAUUCUUGUGAGUCAUCGAGUGGUUGACCAGUCUCAUGCUAUAUCAUGACAGUCAGUUUUCAGCUUUCUCUACUGAGGUGCUCGCCAUGCCGAACCGGGGCACAAUCGCAGUAGUUCUCCUGGUGUCGUGUUAGCCGAUAAAAUGGAACGUAAUGCAGCAAAACACAGGAGCCGGGCAAACCCAACAUUUGACCAAAGACAUGAUUCAGAGCUGAUGCAUAUAAGGCCUAACUCGAGACGCCGAACACUCCCUAAGGUAUUCGGUCUUUAUGAAAACGGGCAGAACAAUGCCCUAAGCCCCUAGUGUCCAGGUACGCGCAAAAAUUUCUGACGCGGCCGAUGCCAAAACACCAGCCUCCUCCUCGGUUAUAGUAAGAAACCGGGGGAUGUGUAUCAACAAGAGACAGUAAGAAAGGUUUACGCAGGGUCUUAAUCUGAAAAGAAUCCUUGCAACGGGUCCCUACUGCAUGUCUGCGCCUGUGUCUCUGUUGUGCCGUAUCCUGGAUGGGUGUAGCACGGUGUUCAUCUGUAAAAGAGAAGAACUUAGUUGGAAAAAAGGAUCGUGCGAAAAAUGUAUAAACAGAGUAUGAUUCAUAAAAUGAAUAAAAUUGAGCCUUAUUGUCUCUUAUUGUACAUGCGUGCAGCCCCUUGUAAGGAGGUACGCGGCUAUUAAGCCCCUUGUUUAUUUAUGCCGGACUCGCCUAACCAUGUCCGGGAUCUGAAUGACCUGUUUAGGUGCUUUGAUCAGCAAAUAUGGAUUAGUGUGUGGCUGUCAAGGCAGUCUCACUUUCUUCUGUAUUCAAGGAACACUCGAAGUUUCCCUUUAAUGAGAUGAUGCCGCGUGGACCGGGCAUUUUGAGUGUAAGAGAUGCAUAAUGCGAUAUUGCGUUAAAGCGGGCGAAAGCUUCACGUCCCAAUAGUGCUUGAUAGCUACUUUUAAAUGGGGCGAAGUGGAAGACUAACUUUUCGCGAUGGAAGUUGUCGGAUGAGCCGAACAUAACUUCUAGUAGUAGAGAGCCCGUACAAUGGGCAUAUGGGCCUGGCAUCACUCCUUUAAAGGAAGUGUUGCUAUGGCGUAUUUUGGUUGGGUCUAUCCCCAUUUUGCGGAUUGUAUCCUGAUAUAGCAGGUUUAGAUCACUGUCGACGUCCAUUAGGACCUGUGUAAAUUGUAGUCCGUCGAUUAUAGGAUUUAAUAUCAAAGCAGUCCAUCCUGCGUUCCGGAUACUUCUGGAGUAAUCCUGAUGGUCGAAAGUGAUUGGUUUUGACAUCCAGUGUCGGGACUCCGCUUGGGUGGACCGUGCGACGCGUACUUUAAUGGGCGCCGCUCUAUUUUUUCCUGUUGUCACUUGAAGUGAGUUUACUGUUUUGACCUCUUGUGGGAAAUUCCUUUGUUUUCUGGUGCUCUGCUUGUGGGGUUCGUCAUCGUCCUCACGUGGUGUGUCGAGCCCCUUGUGUUCGGCAUUAAGUCGGCCGGACUGCUUGAAGACCCAACAAUCUCUGUGGGUGUGGUUUGCAGGCUUCCCGGAGGUACUGUGGAUUUGGCAUAUCUUGUCCAAGAUUUUCUUUAGGUUGGAUAGCUCAUCGCUGUUGUCCUUGAGAGGUAGUUUUUUGUUGUUCUGCCGAGAGCUUUUGAAUCUGGCGUUGACUGUCAUGCUCUUUGGACCAUUUCCCUUAGUCCGGCGCUGGUCCUUGCUGCGUUGUGGUUUCCCAUUUCCAUCCCUGACCUCGGAUGUACUUGGGUCGCUGGUGCUGCAUCUUGCAAGCCAGCUAUCCUCUCCCGCGCAAAAGCGGGUCAUGAGGCUUGUUAGUGCAGCCAUUGUUCUUGGCUUUUCUUGGCCAAGGUGCCUGGCGAGCCAUUCGUCUCGGACGUUGUGUUUGAAAGCUGCUAAGGCUUCGGCGUCCGGACAGUCGACUAUUUGGUUCUUUUUGGUGAGGAACCUGUUCCAGAAUUUGCGGGCUGACUCUCCGGAUUGUUGAGUUAUGUUACUUAAAUCGUCUGCAUCCGGAGGGCGGACAUAAGUCCCUUGAAAAUUUGCCCGAAAAGCGUCCUCGAGCUCUUCCCAACUUCCAAUGGUAUUUUCAGGGAGGCUUUUAAGCCAGUGCUGUGCUGGCCCUUUGAGCUUGAGGGGUAGGUAUUUUAUGGCGUGGAGAUCGUCUCCUCUAGCCAUGUGUAUGUGGAGGAUGUAAUCCUCUAUCCAGACUCCUGGGUUUGUUGUUCCAUCGUAUGCCUCUAUGUUUACGGGUUUAAAUCCCGUUGGGAAUUCAUGAUCCAGCACCUCAUCGGUGAAACAUAGGGGGUGUGCGGCUCCCCUGUAUUUGGGUGUGCCGUGAUGUUCGGAUAUUUGGCGUGUUGCAUUGCUUAAAAGAGCUUGCUUUCUUGGCCCGUAGAUGGACCUAACUGGGCCAUCCUUUUGAUGCGAAUCCUUAUGCGGUUCGCGUGCCGGAUUGUGUGCGGCGCCGCUUGCCGCUCUAUGCUUGUCAUGUGGUCGUCCAUCCGACCGGGCGGCCUCUUUGUUCUUUGGUUGCGGGGGCUCUAAGGCCUCCUCAUCGAAUUCGGGCAGUAGUUUGCGCUUCGGGUAGCUCUUUGUUUGGCGACUGUCGUCGUAUUUGUCUGCGGUGUUGAGUACUUUGCUCCAUCUGAUUUUGAGUGCAUCUUCCGCUCUUUUGAGCGUCCGCUUCUGCUUUUUCAGGCUACGCGCAGUGGCGACGAGCCUUUUGUGGAGGUUCUUCUGCUCCAAAAACUUGUCCGGUGUGAGAUCGUCCGGACUGUUAUUUUCGCCGGGGAUGGGUUGCUUAUCCAAGUUAUCCUGUUCGGAUGGUUGCUCGAGGGCAUGUUCUUUAUCCACCGGUUCGCCCUGCUCUAUGGCUGGGUCUGUAUGGGUGAUGUCGUUGUCGAGGCGGGACUUUGGGCGGCGCUUACAUCGCCGUUUUGACUGUUUUUUGAGGGAAUUAUCCUUCGCAGUGUCCCGUUGUUCCUCGUUAUCGCUUCCUUCAGGUGUAUCCACCAUAUAUACAUCGUGAGUUGAGGUGGCCUUCCAGUGCCCUGUAAGCGCUGGUUCUUGGUCGUCUCCGGCAUCGCCGUCCAUACCGUCGAUGUCUUCGGAGUCGAAGUCUAGCAUGUCGGUUAAGUCGUCGACAGCGGCUACGAAGUGGGUGGUGGGUGGGCUUUGAAUUUCUUCGUCGUCCGCAUCCCAACCGUCCUGACCAUAAUCUGGCCAGGGCUCUCCUGAUAAAGAGAGACACUUUAGCGAAUUCAGGAUGUCGCCAAAAGGUGAGUGCUGAAAGAUGUCCGCAGCGGUGAACUCCAUGAUCGGCGCCUGUCGGUGUCAAAACCGGCGGAUCUCGGGUAGGGGGUCCCGAACUGUGCGUCUAGGCGGAUGGUAACAGGAGACAAGGGACACGAUGUUUUACCCAGGUUCGGUCCCUCUUGAUGGAGGUAAAACCCUAGAAGCUAGCCUAUGGUAUGAUUGUAAUGGUUGUUGUUGUGUCCUACGGACUAGAGCCAUCCGGUUUAUAUAGACACCGGAGAGGGCUAGGGUUACAUAGAGUCGGUUACAAUGGUAGGAGAUCUACGUAUCUGUAUCACCAAGCUUGCCUUCCACGCCAAGGAAAGUCCCAUCCGGACAUAGGACGAAGUCUUCAAUCUUGUAUCUUCAUAGUCUUGGAGUCCGGUCGAUGAUGAUAGUCCGGCCGAUGAUAGUUCGGCUGAUGAUGGUAGUCCGGCUAUCCGGACACCCCCUAAUCCAGGACUCCCUCAGUAGCCCCUGAACCAGGCUUCAAUAACGAUAAGUCCGGCGCGUAUAUUGCUUGGCAUUGCAAGGCGGGUUCCUCCUCCAAAUGAUAGAAGAUUGUGAACACCAGGAUAGUGUCCGGCUCUGCAAAAUAAAUUCCACAUUCCACCGUAGAGAGAAUAAUAUAUACACAAGUUCAAUCUGCUGACGUUUUUUGCGGCAUGACGUCACGCCACUACCAAGCCAUUACUUGAAUCGUUUUUUACUCUACCACCUCAGCGCAUUUAGCGAAGCGGUUUCCUUGGCACGUCUUGUCGAAGCAGAGAUCGUGUUCCCCCUUAAUCCGGGAUUCUCAUCAAUACGGAUGUGGGUAACCCAACCGCGCCAUUGAUGGUGACGCUUGGGGGGUAAGCGAGUUUUACCAGGCCAGUGGGGGACGCAUAGACUUCGCCCGCCCAUAUAAGGGAUAAGGAUUCACCUUUUCACCUACGCCUUCUUCCUCCUUUGCUUAUCCAUCUCUGCGCACUCGAGCUCCAGCGCCCAAGCCCGCACAUCUCGUCUCAACCUUCCCCAGUCAUGUCUGGAGCGGGAGGCAAGUGGAUGGCCUCCUCCGUUGCGGAGGAGCACAUCGAAAGACUGAGCAGCGCCGGCUACCUGUCCGGUGACAUCGCGCACCGGCUGCCCGACGAGGGGCAGCUCAUUCCCACCCCCAGGCCCCAUGAGAGGGUCGUUUUUCUUCCCCACUUCCUCCGCGGACUGGGCUUUCCACUUUACCCCUUUAUCCGAGGGCUCAUGUUCUACUACGGCCUGGAUUUCCAUGAUCUGGCGCCGAACUUCAUCCUCAACAUCUCGGCGUUUAUCGUCGUGUGCGAGGCCUUCCUCUGCAUCCAGCCCCACUUCGGCUUGUGGCUCAAGACCUUCAAUGUCAAGCCGAAGGUAGUGAAGGGCACUCAAGCGGAGUGCGGAGGCGCCAUGUUGGGCAAGAUGCCCAACGUCCUUUGGUUCGAAGGGGCCUUCGUGGAAUCCGUCAAGGGGUGGCAAUCGGGGUGGUUCUAUAUCACCGAGUCGCGUGACCCUACGUGGGCGGCGGCCCCCGAGUUCAGAUCUGGUAUCCCCACGCAGCUCACCUCCUGGAAAGAGAAGGGCUUGCUGUGGGGUAGUUCGGAGGAGUUGACGGGACUCCAAGCCUGUAUCCAGAAGCUGGUGAAGAAGCUCAGGCUGGUUAACAUGGUCCAAGUCAUGCUCGUCCGCCGGAUUCUCCCAUGCCAAGAGCGGGCAUUCAAUCUGUGGGAGUUCGAUCCGGAACAGCACCAGGCGCUGAGCGAGCUCUUCGACACGAUGUACGAAGGCGCCUGGAGGGUGCUGUUUAAGGGCGCCGAAGCCCCCGCAUCCGCGACUGAAGAUCAUGGAUUUCGCUCGCAGCGCCAAGCCGACGAGGUAAGUGAUUCUACCCCUUUACGGGACACUUGCUUUUCAUACUUUGACUCUAUGCGGGUUUUAAUUUCCCCUUUUCCUUUGACAGGACUGGAUGAGGAAGGCGGAGCAGAUUAUCUGCCCGGCUCCUAUGCCAGAAAACCCAGUAGACGCCCGUCUAGCGAGGUUGCUGGUUCCGGCACCGCACGUGGUGCCGGAGAAGAAGGCCAAGAAGGAGGCCACGGGUGCUCGAAAGAGUUCCCGUUUUCAGGUGUCCGACGACUCCGGGGCGGACUCCUCCCCCGAAAACGAGGAGGAGAAAGAGGAUUCUCUCCCAGAGGAGGGAGAGAGGAAGAGGAAGGCUUCCCCAACAGGGGAGGCCGAAGGGUCCAAGAGGGGAAGGACUAUUCCCCCGGACAGCUCCGCCAACAUCAACGUUGGCGAGGAAGAAUGGCCUUCAAGGGCCAGGCCUCCGGCGAGAUCGUAAGUAUCCGGAUUCCUGAAUGAUUUAUAAUUUCUUUUUCUGCGUCACAUAGUGUCAUUCUGAUGCCGCAUGCUGCCUGUAGUCCGGCCAAUGAUGAUCUCCCCGCUUCAUUGAGCGGGUCGUUGGCUCCGUCGAAUGUAGACUCCAUCCCGACCGCCUCCACCCCUCGCGACACCGAGGACGCCGAGGUGGGAUCCCAAGAAGGGACCCAUCAGGGGGAGGCUCCGGAGGCGCCACAAGGCGGCCUCCCGGACUUUGCGCCGGACUCCACAUCAGAACCCGCAGUGGUUCCGGAGUCCGGCCGGCGGCCCCUUCGCACGAAGGGCAAGACCAUGACGCCGGCGGCUUCCGUCCAACGGGAGGCGCCGGACAAUUUGUUGGAGGCGCUCUAGAGCGCUUCCAUCGAGGAAGAACACCGUACUAUUAUGAGUGUGGUGAUUCAGAAGGUACAGCUUGCCAAGAGCGGGCUGACCGAAGCCUGCAGUAGCCUUCUAUCAGGCUUUGAGGCAAGAAGUUAAAAAUAUGAAAUGUAAUACCGCAUAGACAGUAGCCCCUGAUGCUCGGUUUGGUGUUCGGAAAGAAAAGCCGGACUGAGGAUCUGAAAAAAAAAGAAGAUAUACGCAGGGUUGCUAAAAAAAUUAUGUCAAUAUGGGUUGUAGGUUGCGCUGCUGACCUGUGCCGCACUGACUGCGGAGGUCGGUGCUUUGAAGCAGGAGCUCGAGCGGUCCGAGCUCGCCAAGAAGCAGCUCCAGGACAAAGAAGGUGAGUAACACCACUUUGAACUUGUACCUUACAGAAAAGGAUUUAGGUUGCAACAAAAAAUAACAAGGAUAACAUGGGUACUGCAGGGGCCACGAACGAGGUGGCGACCCUGAAGGAGGCCGUGUCCGCGGCCGAACACAAUGCGGCCGCGGAAUGGGCAGAGCGAGAAAAGCAGGAGGCGCGGGUGGCGGUGGUUCGGCAAGAGCUCCAGGCUCUCAUGGAAAAGCAUGAGAGUUUGGAGCGUGACUCAAAGACUUGAGAGUCCGAGCUUGCCUCGGCUUUCGAAAGUGCCAAAACUGCCAAGGCUGAUCCCCAUAAGUCCCUUCAGGAGAUUGAGUUGCUGAGGAAGAUAGCGGCGGGUAAGGCAUUUUUCAUGCAAACCAAGCAUGUGAAUGUAAAUUACGUGUUACUUACCCGAAUUCGGAGCUCUCCAGGGGCGUUCGCAGAUCUGCCUCGCAGUGUGUCUGAUGCCGCCGUAUUCUACCGAGCCGAGGAGGGGAGCUCAACAGAGAAGGUCUUCUGGUCUCAGUAUGCUGAGGCCGGCCAUCCGGUGCCCCCUAGCGACCAGCUGAAGCAGCUGGUUGAGCUCCACAAGGUGGCCGAGCAGGCCAUGAAGGGCCUCAUAGUCUGGCUGUGGCCUGGAGAGGCCAUGCCUGGGAGCUACUUCGGCCUCGUGCGACGGUUGGUGGAUGCGUGCCCCUGGGUGGAGGUUAUCAAGCGCUCUGCCUGUAUUGAAGGUGCUCGUUGGGCUCUUGCCCGCGCAAAGGUGCAUUGGGGCAAGCUGGAUGCGGAGAAGCUAAUCACUGACGCGCCACCAGCGGGCAAGGAAUAUCGUACGCCCGAGAUGUACUAUAAGACUGUCCUGAAGGGUGCCCGGAAGAUUGCGGAUGAGUGCCCCAGGGAUGUAAUUAUUGAGUAAAUUCGCAAUGUGUUAUCCUGUGCGCUGAAAACUUUGUUCAUAUGCGCUAAGCAACGCUUGUUAAUUUAAAAUAUUACCUUCUGUGCGGCCGUUUAUUAAAUCUGAGAGAUGGCAAGUCGUCGGCUUCAGCCCCCAUGCCACGAGUGCUGGGGUGUUCGGGAUAAACUUGAGCACUCUUGUUCCCAUUUUUGGGUCCAUCUAGGGAGGCGCUCAACACAAUGAACAAGGCAACCGGACUUAUAGUGCUUGAACACUCUCACUUAGCCAUAGAAUUCUAUAAUUUUAAAUUUCGGCGAAGCCCCUAGUAUUCGGAAGACCGAAUUCGGGGCGCUAUCCAUGCCUUCGUCGGACAUUAUCCGGUACUUCGCUCGAAGCGGCGUAGGUCUUUAAGGACCCGAAAAGACCUCUCGAACAGCGACCAGUCUCUCGCCUUAUCAUGACAGUCAGUUUUAGCUUUCUCCACUGAGGCGUUAACCCGGCUCAACCGGGGCGAUAUCGCAGUGGUUCUCCCAGUGCUACCUUAGCCGAUAGAACGGAACGUAAGGUGCCAAACAUGGGAGCCGGGCAAACCCAACUAUUGACCCAAGACAUGAUUCGGAGCCGAUUCAUAUAAUGCUAUAAGUUCGGGGUGCCGCACUUGUGAAAGUGUUCGGACUUUAUCACACCAUAAUGCGGGGAACAUAAGCCCCUGGUGUAUUUGGCCGUACCAAAAUGUACGGGUGCAACAUGUCGUAAAUGAACAUAUAUAUAUAAGCUAAUGCAAUUAUGGGCAAAAGGUGCUGCAUUUUAUUCGAGAAGAUCUGCUAUGAGUGCGGAAUGAUACAAAUAGUGCGGAAAGCAAGGGAUUGGACGAAUUAAAGGCGUCUCCCUCCAGGGGUAGGCCGCGGAAUGGUGUAUUUAACAAAUUUAAUGCUCGUAAUGGAGACCACUUGAGUGUUCGUCGCAGCCUUUGUCCCUCCCUGGCUGUUGCAUCAUGAGUUCGGCAGGUUUGCCGCCGGACAGAGUUCUGUAUAAAAAAGAGAGAAAUAAAAGAUAAAAAGAGCGACACGCUUGGGAGCCCCUAGUGUGGUCGAACCGCACUCUGGGUCUGUUGUGGUUGUGCCUCUCCCCCUAUGCCCAUGGUAUCUCCAAGGCGUAAUUAUGUACGCGGAGAGUUUGUCUUGCAAUUGUGCGAGGGCUGGAGUUGAGGCCGCAUUGCUACGCGUGCUCGGAACGUGCCAGGUGGUCUUGGUUGAUGUUGCUCUGGGCGUGUUUGGCCGUGUCCGGUCGUUUAACGGCCGGACUCGAAAAUUGCCUUAAAAGGCUGCUCUGUACUUCUGCCGCGAGAGCCGCUGUAUGUUCCUCCGUUCGAAGGGAGCCUGGACUGUGAUGACUCCACGAGGGCCUGGAAUCUUGAGCUUAAGGUAUGCAUAAUGCGGCACUGUGUUGAAUUUUGCGAACGCGGUUCGUCCGAGCAGAGCGUGAUAGCCACUGCGGAACGGGACUAUGUCGAAGAUUAACUCCUCGCUUCGGAAAUUAUCCGGGGAUCCGAAGACCACUUCCAGUGUAACUGAGCCUAUACAACUGGCCUCGACACCUGGUAUGACGUCUUUGAAGGUUGUCUUUGUAGGUUUAAUCCUUGAAGGGUCUAUGCCCAUCUUGCGCACUGUAUCCUGAUAAAGCAGGUUCAGGCUACUGCCGCCAUCCAUCAGGACUCUCGUGAGGUGAAAUCCAUCGACGAUUGGGUCUAAAACCAAUGCGGCGAAUCCGCCAUGGCGGAUACUGGUCGGAUGGUCUCUUCGAUCGAAAGUGAUCGGGCAAGAGGACCAUGGGUUGAAUUUUGGGGCGACUGGCUCCGUCGCGUAUACGUCCCUUAGUGCACGCUUCCGCUCCCUCUUGGGUAUAUGCGUUGCGUAUAUCAUGUUUACCGUCCGAACUUGAGAGGGGAAUCCCUUUUGUCCUCUGUUGUUCGGCGGCCGGGUCUCUUCCUCGUCAUCGCUGUGUAGCCCCUUGUCAUUGUUUUCGGCGAUUAAUUUGCCUGCCUUCUUGAAUACCGAACAAUCUCUGUUGGUGUGGUUAGCUGGCUUUUCGGGGGUUCCAUGUAUUUGACAGGAGCGGUCGAGUAUUCGGUCCAAAUUGGACGGGCCCGGAGUGGUUCUUUUGAAUGGCUUCUUCCGUUGACCGAGCUUGGAGCCUCAGAAUCUGGCGUUGACUGCCGUAUCCUCAUUGCUGUCGCCGUUAAUGCGGCGUUUGUUUUUGUUUCGACGCGACCUGCCAUUGCGGUCCUUGGUAUCCGGACUGCCAGCGUUUUUGCUGAGGUUGUUGCUGCGAGCUAGCCAGCUAUCCUCUCCUACACAGAAGCGGGUCAUGAGUGAUGUGAGGGCUGCCAUGGAUUUCGGCUUUUCCUGUCCUAGGUGCCGGGCCAGCCACUCGUCGCGGAUGUUAUGUUUGAAGGCAGCGAGGGCCUCUGCAUCCGGACAGUCGAUGAUUUGAUUUUUCUUUGUUAAGAACCGUGUCCAGAAUUGCCUGGCCGAUUCGUCUGGCUGCUGGAUUAUGUGGCUUAGGUCAUCUGCGUCCGGUGGUUGCACAUACGUGCCCUAGAAGUUGUCGAGGAAUGCGGCUUCCAGGUCUUCCCAGCAUCCAAUUGACUCUGCGGGCAGGCUGUUAAGCCAAUGCCGAGCUGGUCCUUUAAGCUUGAGCGGGAGAUAUUUGAUGGCGUGAAGAUCGUCGCUGCGGGCCAUAUGUAUAUGGAGGAGAUAAUCCUCAAUCCAAACCGCGGGGUCUGUUGUGCCAUCAUAGGAUUCGAUAUUAACGGGUUUAAACCCUUCAGGGAUUUGAUGAUCCAUUACUUCGUCAGUGAAGCAUAGUGGGUGCGCGGCUCCUCUGUAUUGAGCAAUAUCGUGACGUAGCUCGAUAGAGCGUUGUCUACUGUGUUCGGCCCGGCUGGAGUAGUUGUAUCCGGCGUGACGGUAUUCGUCGUGGGUCUUGGGGCGCCCACGUGAUCCAUAGAUAGAUCUGGAUUGUCUUGCCUUGUCCUCCAAUAUAUCCCGCAAGUCCAGUGCGUUCCCCCGUGGCUUCAUGCUUCUUGAGCGAUGCCGGGGUACAGUUUUGGUGGAGGGCUUGCAUGCCUCUCUGUCGCGGCCACGAGGUGGUCGGUCUGCCGUAUUGUGCGCUGGUGAUGCAGGUUUGUACGCUUCCUCCUCUAGUCAGGGGAGCAACUUGCGUUUUGGGUAACUUUUGGAGGGGCGUUCGAGUUCAUACUCUUCGGCCGCGAGGACCUCGGUCCAUCUGUCGGCCAGCAGGUUUUGAUCAGCUUGAAGCUAUUGCUGCUUUUUCUUUAGGCUGUUUGCCGUGGCCAUUAACCUGCGUCUGAAACGCUCUUGUUCGACGGGAUCCUCAGGCACGACGAAUUCGUCGUCGUCGAGGCUUGCCUCGUCUCCGGAGGGAGGUAAGUAAUUAUCAUCCUUGACCUCUUCGUCUACCGCCCUCUCGUGAGGGCUUGCUUCUGCCUCCUCCUGCACUGGAUCGUGCUGGAGGGGGUUGUCUUCGGCACUUUCUGGGGUGUUAUUAUCUCCUGUGCCGGAAUCUCUAUUCUUGCUGUGGCGGGAUUUAGAGCGGCGCCGCUGACGUCGGCACUUGGGCUGUUUCUUUAAGGAAUCGGCCUCCGUUGCUUCUUCGCCGUCCCCAUCUUUUAGGGUGUCCACCAUGUAUAUGUCGUAUGACGAGGUGGUCUUCCAGUGUCCUAUAGGCACUAGUUCUUGAUAGUCUCUAGCAUCGUUGUCCAUACCGUUGAUGUCUUCGGAGUCGUAGUCGAGUACGUCGGUUAGAUCGUCGAUGGUGGCUACGAAGUGGGUGGUGGGUGGGCCUGAAUUUCUUCGUCGUCCGCGUCCCAACCAUCCUGGCCGUAGUUCGGCCAGGGCUCUCCAGAUAGCGAGAGAUGCUUCAGCGAAUUUAGGAUAUCGCCGAAGGGUGAGUGCUGAAAGGUGUCCGCAGCGGUGAAUUCCAUGAUCGGCGCCCAAUCGGAUUCGACUGGUAGAGGCGCAGGAGGUUCGGAGUCCGGCAGAGAGUCCGGCACCUCGGAGUCAUGAGCUUUAUGCGGGACAAGGUAAGUGUUCGGCUCCGUCGCCGUAGAAGUUGCAGCUCCUGAGGCAGUGUCCAGCCAUCCGUCCCCGAUCUGUGCGGUCAGCUCCGGACUAUGGGUUGGAGCGGAUUCGUGUGCGGCCUCCAAGGUGCUGUCCGGCGGCAGAGUUGGGUCGUGCCCAUCGUGACAGCGCGGCACGCUCGGCUGUGGCUCAGAUCCAUUGAAGAUCAAGUCCCUGCGGAUAUCGGCCGUGAAGUUUAGGCUUCCAAACCUGACCUGACGGCCAGGGGCGUAGCUUUCGAUCUGCUCUAGAUGGCCAAGUGAGUUGGCCCGCGGUGUGAAACCGCCGAAUACGAAGAUCUGUCCGGGGAGAAAAGUCUCACCUAGGACUGUGUCGUUGUCCAUUGAAGAGGCCAUCAAGCCUAUCGGUGACGACACAGAGGAACUCUCAAUGAAAGCACCAAUGUCGGUGUCAAAACCGGCGGAUCUCGGGUAGGGGGUCCCGAACUGUGCGUCUAGGCGGAUGGUAACAGGAGACAAGGGACACGAUGUUUUACCCAGGUUCGGGCCCUCUUGAUGGAGGUAAAACCCUAGAACCUAGCCUAUGGUAUGAUUGUAAUGGUUGUUGUUGUGUCCUACGGACUAGAGCCAUCCGGUUUAUAUAGACACCGGAGAGGGCUAGGGUUACAUAGAGUCGGUUACAAUGGUAGGAGAUCUACGUAUCCGUAUCGCCAAGCUUGCCUUCCACGCCAAGGAAAGUCCCAUCCGGACACGGGACGAAGUCUUCAAUCUUGUAUCUUCAUAGUCUUGGAGUCCGGUCGAUGAUGAUAGUCCGGCCGAUGAUAGUUCGGCUGAUGAUGGUAGUCCGGCUAUCCGGACACCCCCUAAUCCAGGACUCCCUCAGCGCCCAAUCAGAUUCGAUUGGCAGGGGCGCGGAAGGUUCGGGGUCCAGAGAGGAGUCCGGCACCUUGGAGUCAUGAGCUUCACAAGGGACAGGGUCGGUAUUCGGCUCUAUCACCGUAGAAGUAGAAGCCCCCGAGGCGGUAUCCAGCCACCCAUCCUCGAUCGGCGUAGUCGGCUCCGAGCUAAGGGUCGGAGCGGACUCUUGUGCGGCCUCCAGGGCACUAUCCGGUAGCAGAGCUAGAUCAUGCCCAUCGUGACAGUGCGGCGCGCUCGGCUGUGGCUCGAAUCCGUCGAAGAUCAACUCUCCGCGGAUGUCAGCCGUAUAGUUCAAACUUCCAAAUCUGACCUGAUGGUCAGGGGCGUAGCUUUUGAUCUGCUCCAGAUGGCCAAGUGAAUUGGCCCGUAGUGCAAAGCCGCCGAAUACGAAGAUCUGUUCGGGGAGAAAAGUCUCACCCUGGACCGUGUUGUUGUGAUUGAUCGAAGGAGCCAUCGGGCCUAUAGGUGACGGCACAGAGGAACUCUCAAUGAAAGCACCAAUGUCGGUGUCAAAACCAGCGGAUCUCGGGUAGGGGGUCCCGAACUGUGCGUCUAGGCGGAUGGUAAUAGGAGACAAGGGACACGAUGUUUUUACCCAGGUUCGGGCCCUCUCGGUGGAGAUAAAAACCUACUCCUGCUUGAUUAAUAUUGAUGAUAUGGGUAGUACAAGAGUAGAUCUACCACGAGAUAAAGGAGGCUAAACCCUAGAAGCUAGCCUAUGGUAUGAUUGUUUUUCGUCCUAAGGACUAAAACCCUCCGGUUUAUAUAGACACCGGAGAGGGUUAGGGUUACACAGAGUCGGUUACAAUGGUAGGAGAUGUACAUAUCCGUAUUGCCUAGCUUGCCUUCCACGCCAAGGAAAGUCCCAUCCGGACACGGGACGAAGUAUUCAAUCUCGUAUCUUCAUAGUCUAGGAGUCCGGCCAACGGUGAUAGUUCGGCUAUCCGGACACCCCCUAAUCCAGGACUCCCUCACUCGUGCUCGGUUAAGGCGGACCCCUGGGCGGUCGAGCGUAGAGGGUGGGUCCGAGCACAAGGCCGGAUCUGGAGUAAUGGCCCAGUUGGCAGCGGGGUAAGCCAAAACUGAAGCCGAAGCCUCAGAGUUUGUGGGUCCUUAGUGUGGAGCCGAGAACCCCGCGAGGACUAGAUCUCCCCGGGGGUCGGUGAAGAACUCUAGGUUUCCAAACUUGAUCUCCUCACUGAGGGCUAAGCCAUCAAUCUGGCCGAGAUGGACGGUCGGAUCAGCGUGUAGCAUGAUGCUGCUGAACGCGAAGAGCUGGCCGGGAACGAAGACAUCCCCGUUGCGGAUGCUAUUGCUGAUGACGAGGCAAGCCAUUGAUCCUUGAUGAUCCUCCAACAAAACCCUCCAUGAAAGCACCAAUGUCGGUGUCAAAACGGGCAGAUCUUGGGUGGGGGGUCCCGAGCUGUGGAUCUUGGAUCGAUGGGUAACAGGGAACAUAGAGACAACGUUUACCCAGGUUCGGGCCCUCUCAAAGAGGUAAAACCCUACGUUCUGCUUGAUUGUAUUGAUGUGUCCGUAUGACAAUUACAGAGUUGAUCUAGCGCGACAUUGGAUGAACUAAACCCUAGGUGGGUAUGAUGAUAAUGGUUGGCCUCUCCACGGAAUGACCCUCUGGUUUAUAUAGACACCAGGGGUACCUAGCACUACUAGGGAAAACCUUAUACACAGAAGUUUAUCAGCAACGCGGUUUAAAAAUGGGCGCUACUGCUAAUUAGUAGUAGCGAGGGGUAUAAAAACCAUGCUACUACUAACUUGAUAGUAGUAGCGAGGGGUAUAAACCCGUGCUACUACUAAAUGGUCUCCAACAAUGCCCCUGAGAUAGGUCAUAGUAGUAGCGAGGGGUAUAAAACCGGCGCUACUACUAAGUAAGUAGUAGUAGCGCAGGUAAGACCCCCACGCUACUACUAAACGUGUCCACCCCGACCCGAUCCACCACCUCCCACCCCACCAACCGUCCCACACCACCCACUCCCGUCUGUCUCAAAAAAAAAUAGGUAGCCCGAUCCAGAUCCCCAACCUUCUCUCCUCUCCCAACCCACUCACCGUUGGCCUCCCUUCCACCUCCUCUCCUCCGUCCGUCCGCCCCNNNNNNNNNNNNNNNNNNNNNNNNNNNNNNNNNNNNNNNNNNNNNNNNNNNNNNNNNNNNNNNNNNNNNNNNNNNNNNNNNNNNNNNNNNNNNNNNNNNNNNNNNNNNNNNNNNNNNNNNNNNNNNNNNNNNNNNNNNNNNNNNNNNNNNNNNNNNNNNNNNNNNNNNNNNNNNNNNNNNNNNNNNNNNNNNNNNNNNNNNNNNNNNNNNNNNNNNNNNNNNNNNNNNNNNNNNNNNNNNNNNNNNNNNNNNNNNNNNNNNNNNNNNNNNNNNNNNNNNNNNNNNNNNNNNNNNNNNNNNNNNNNNNNNNNNNNNNNNNNNNNNNNNNNNNNNNNNNNNNCCCGCCGCUCCCCGUCUCGCCCCGCUGCCCGCCCCUGCCCACCUCCGCCGCGCACGUGCCCGCCCGCCGCGGCGCCAGCUCCUCCUCCGAUACGGCAUGCCGCUGCACCGCGACCUCCUCGCCUGCGGCAUCAGGGUCGGCAUGGGACUGGACCCACUGGAGCCGGCACUUCGCGGAGGUGGACCGGGCCGACAGCUACGCGCCCGUGCUGCGCUUCUAGCUGGAGGAGGCCGUGGAGGCCGAGGACUUCACCGAGGCCGCCGCCCUCAAGCGCGCCCUCCUUGACGCCACCGCCGCCGAUGCCGUCUCCCGCGUCAUGGCCGAUGUCGGUGUCAAAACUGGCGGAUCUCGGGUAGGGGGUCCCGAACUGUGCGUCUAGGCGGAUGGUAAAAAGAGACAAGGGACACGAUGUUUUUACCCAGGUUCGGGCCCUCUCGGUGGAGGUAAAACCCUACUCCUGCUUGAUUGAUAUUGAUGAUAUGGGUAUUACAAAAGUUGAUCUACCUCGAGAUCAGAGAGGCUAAACCCUAGAAUCUAGCCUAUGGUAUGAUUGUUGUCUAUCCUACGGACUAAAACCCUCCGGUUUAUAUAGACACUGGAGAGGGCUAGGGUUACACAGAGUCGGUUACAAUGGGAGGAGAUCUUGAUAUCGUAUCGCCAAGCUUGCCUUCCACGCCAAGGAAAGUCCCUAUCCGGACACGGGACGAAGUCUUCAAUCUUGUAUCUUCAUAGUCCGGGAGUCCGGCCAAAGGUCAUAGUCCGGCCAUCCAGACACCCCCUAAUCCAGGACUCCCUCAGUAGCCCCUGAACCUGGCUUCAAUGAUGACUAGUCCGGCGCGCAAAUUGUCUUCGGCAUUGCAAGGCGGGUUCCUCCUCUGAAUUCUUCGUAGAAGAUGUUUGAACACAAGGAUACUGUCCGUCUCUGUAAAAAUAAGUUCCACAUACCACUGUAGAGAGAAUAAUAUAUGCACAAAUCUAAUCUGCUGACGUAUUCCGCAACGUGACAUCAUGCCAUGGUCAAGCCUUUAUUCGAAUCGUUUUACUGUUCCACCUUAGCAUGUUUAGCGAGGCGGUUUCCUUGGCACGUCUUGUCGAAGCAGAGAUCGUGUCCCCUUAUUCCGGGAUUCUCAUCAAUACAAGUGUGGGUAACCCAACCGUGCCUUUUGGUAUGACUCUCUAAUUGAAAGCGAGUCCCAAACGGUUACGGGGAGGGCUCUUGGCAUUCAACUCCUUUAUAAAGAGACCAAGGCUCGACUCCCUUUUCUUUCAAUUGAAUCCGCCUCUCGCCUCGAGUUCCAACACUCAAAGCUUCUAGUUUUAGGCACUUCGGACUUUCGACGAUGUCCGGUUCCGACCUUCAAGGCCGGUGGGUGCCUUCCUCUAUUACGGAAGAGCACAUGAGAAAGCUGAGAGAUGCCAGGUAUCUAACCGGCAAAAUCUCGCAUAGGUUGCCUGCUCAAGGGCAGGCCAUUCCUUCUCCCCAGCCCGGUGAGAGUGUGGUGUUCGCAUCUCACUUCCUUCGGGGGCUAGGCUUCCCGAUUGAUCCCUUCGUGAGGGGGCUGAUGUUCUAUUACGGGUUGGAAUUCCACGACCUAGCUCCGGAGUCCAUCCUCCAAAUUUCAUCAUUCAUUGUUGUGUGCGAAGCCUUCCUCCAUAUCACCCCUCACUUCGGAUUGUGGCUCAAAACCUUCAAGGUGGAGCCGAAGAUGAUCGAGGGGCAGAACACUGAGUGCGGAGGAGCUAUCAUAAGCAAGAUAGCCGGCGCUCCAUGGCCCGAGGGCACUUUCGAAGAAGAGUUCGGCUUAUGGCAACGGGACUGGUUUUACAUCACAGCCCCCAGGGGCACCACAUGGGUGGCGCCGCCUGCUUUUCGCUCGGGUCCACCACCACGGUGAGCGUCAUGGGUCAAUGAAGGGCUUAUCUGGGGACCGCCCAAAGACGUGCCCCUUCUGCAGGACCGCAUUCGAGAUCUCCUAGAAAGAGAUAUUAACUUGACCGUGGUGGCGCAAGUUAUGCUGAUUCGCCGCACGCUGCCCUGCAAACAUCGCCCUCUUCUCUUGUGGGAAUUUAAUCCGAAGGGACCACGAGUCCUUCAACACUUUAUGGGCGUGACACCCAUGGAGAUGUACAAAUUGUUCUUCGGACCACAAGCAAGGUGUCCGGACUUGUCCGAGGACACAGGCCUGAGCGGUAAUCGCCAGGAUGCUAAGGUAAGUAGCCCCGUGUUUGGACACACCGUCCGUAUUUUUAUUAUAAAGUUGCCCUUUAACAGAGCUAUCCUUUGAACAGGAGUGGAUAGCGAAGGCAAAGCUUAUCAGGUGUCCAGCCCCCCUGCCCGAGACCGUGCCGGAUCCUGUGUUAACCAGGAUGCUGGAGAUUACGCCUUCGGCAGAGGGCGAAGAGGGGAACCAAGGAGCUACUGCCUCCAUGAAGGAGACUGUCAGGAAGGAAGGAAUCGAGGAUCCCCCCAACCUGGGAAAGAAAAGAAGUGCCUCUUAAGACCCGAAGGGGAUAGCCUCGAAACGGGGGAAGAAAUCUUUGUCAGAGGAUCCGGCGCCGGAGACUGCCCCGGCCGCAUUGCGCCCUCAAGGGGAUCAGUUUUCCUCUGAGCCGUAAGUAAAGAGAGGGAUUCAAAAAUUAGUGGUAUCCCUGUUUUAUUUCUGAGGAAGAUAACCAAAAUAUUACCUUGCAGUUCGGACCUCAGCCCUUCUCAGUAGAGCUCGUCUUCGGGGGAUCUUCGUCCGGAAAUGAUGGAGAGCGAAACGCCUCCCCUAGCUGCACCUAUUUACGAGUCAGGCGACCCCGAGGUGUCAUCCCGGCGGGUUUCUCCAAGUCCGGAUCCUGAAAAAGGUCGUCGGGCUAGUCCGGUGCCCUCUGGUGCACGGUCGGAGAGGCUGAAGGAUCUGCUUGGGCGAGCGUCCGUCUCAGAAGAACACCGUAUGUUGAUGAACAUGGUGAUAGGAAGGAUUUCAUCCGCGGAAAGCGGGUUGUACGAGGCCGCCAGGAGUUUACUGAUAGGCUUUAAGGUACGUGAAAAAGGUGUACCUUUUGGUAGAGCCGCAUAAAAUGCGCCCUGUAUAAAUAGUAGCCCCUGAGACUCUGUGUGUCGUCAAGAAUGAUGGGGCACAAAGGAUCAAAACCCCAGGUAUAAAAUGUCACGUUUUUAUGAAGGUGGCGAGGCGUUCGGUGGCUAGCCGGACUGAUGAAUCUGUCGAACUAAAGCGGCAACUUGACGUGGCGGAUGCCGACAUCACGCUUGUAAAUAAGCGGCUAGACGAGGCACAAGGUAUGCUCCACAAAUAUCUGAUAAGAGGAGUUUGAUGCUUGUGCCUUACAAUAUAUGUGCUUAUUGCAGAUAGUGCUGCUGCCAUGGAGAACCUGCGGGCAGAACUUGCCCGAGCCAAGGAGCAAGCAAGGAAAAGUGAUGCGGCUGCCGUUAAGGCGGCUGAAGAGCUAAAAGCCGAACAGGCUGCUCACUGCCAGAGUAAGAAGGCGAUAGCUGAGACGGCUAUAAAAUUGAAGGAUGUUGCCGACCGCUAUAACUUUCUCGAACAAGAAGGAAGGGCGGCUCAGGAGGACCUUGAGAAGAUCACUACCGAGGCCAAGGAUACUCGCUCUGCAAUGAGAGCUAUGAAGGAGGAGCUGCGUCAGGCCAGAGAUAUCACGGCUGGAAAGCCCUAUCUGUUGCGGAUGAAGUUCGGGGACCUGAGGUAUGCUCCAUUAGACCGGCAGUGGAGUGCGGAAAACGCUUAUCUGGAUGUGGCAGCGAGUGCAGCAGAUGCAACCGAACACUUCCGAGGUUGAGGUGACCAUAAAUUGGAGGAACUUUUUUGGUCGCAGUUACACAAUCCGGAGCGCCCACUUUCGGUAUCCGACCGUUUGGCCGCCUUUGCGAAGCUGAACAGGUUAUCCGGACUCACCAUGAAGUAUCUUGCGAGUCGUUUGUGGCCAGGGGAGCCAGAGCCGAAGAGUUAUUUUGGAUUGGUGCAGCAGUUCCUUGGUUUUGUGCCGCAUGUUGAUGCGAUGAAGAGGUCGGCGUGCAUAGAGGGUGCACAAAUGGCUCUUGCCCGUGUCAAAACAUACUGGGCGGAUAUGAAGGCCAAUAUUGUUGCAUCCCGGGAUUCGGGCGAAGGCCGAGUACCUGCCAAGCACUUCUUUGAGGAAGUUCUUCCGGGCGCUCGUUUAAUAGAAGCGCAGUGCUCGAAGGAUGUAGUGUUCGAAUAGCAUGUGCUAUUGUAAAAGGAAUAUAUGUUGAUAGAAUAUAAAAGCUUUUUAUACUUGUGCUUGCAAGAAUUAUAAUGCCUCCUGUGCGGCCGUUUUUAAUGUAUAUGUGUAUAUAACCUGAAAGAUGGCAGUCAUUGGCUUCAGCCCCCACGCAUAUAAUGCGGGGGUGUUCGCAAAAAGGCGCUUUUUCACACUUAAUCCAACGUCUUGGUCCUACAAAGGAGGUGAUAGCGUGGCAAACUAGGCAACCAGACUGUAAUGCUUUAUCAUUUUCACUUAGCCAUAGGAGUUUGACAGUGGGGCUACUUAAUAGCCCCCAGGGGCACCGCGCUCGCCCGAAUUCGGGGCACGUGUGUGCCUGACCGGGAAGCGGCCCUUCGUUAAUGCGGAGGAAUCCUAAAGAUUCCGAGAGUCAUCGAGUGGUUGACCAGUCUCUCGCUAUAUCAUGACAGUCAGUUUUCGGCUUUCUCUACUGAGGUGCUCGCCUGGCCGAACCGGAGCACAAUCACAGUAGUUCUCCUGGUGCCGCUUUAGCCGAUAGAGCGGAACGUAAGGCAGCAAAACACAGGAGCCGGGCAAAACAAACAUUUGACCAAAGACAUGAUUCGGAGCUGAUGCAUAUAACGCCAAACUCGCGAUGCCGAACACUCCCUAAGGUAUUCAGUCUUUAUGAAGACGGGCCGAAACGAAGCCCUUGGUAAAAAAGCCCCUGGUGUCCAGGUACGCGCAAAAUUCUGGCGUGGCCACAUGCCAAGACGCCAGCCUCCUCCUCGGUUAUAGCGAAAACCGGUGGAUGUUGUCAACAAGAGAUAGUAAAAAAGGUUUACGCAGGGUCUUAAUCCAAAAAGAAUCCUUGAAACGGAUCCCUACUGCACGUCUGCGCCUGUGUCUCUGUUGUGCCGUAUCCUGGACGGGCGUAGCACGGUGUUCGUUUGCGAGAAAGAGGAACUUUAGUAAACAAAAAAUAAACAUGCGAGAAAUCUAUAUUAGAAUAAACAAAAUAUAGUUGGGGCAAGAAGUGAGCCGUAUUGUCUCCUGGGGUGAAUACGCGGAGUCCCUUGUACAGGGUUAUGCGGCUAUUAAGCCCAUGUAUGUUGACGCCGGACUCGUCGAGCCGUGUCCGGGAUAGUAGGGCUGAAUUAGCGUGCGGCUGUCCAGGUUGCCGCACCAUGACCCGUACUUUGGGGGUCAAUUGAUAUUCUCCUGUAAUGAGAUGAUGCCUCGUGGGCCGGGCAUUUUAAGUGUAAGGGAUGCAUAAUGCGGUAUUGCGUUAAAGCGGGCGAAAGCUUCGCGUCCCAGUAGCACUUGAUAGCGACUUACGAAUGGGGCGAUGUGGAAGGUUAGCUUUUCGCUUCAGAAGUUGUCGGGUGAGCCGAACUUAACUUCUAAUGAAAGGGAACCCAUACUCUGGGUAUCUGGGCCCGGCGUGACUCCAUGAAAGGAAGUGUUGCCAUGGCGGAUUAAAGCUGGGUUCACCCCGAGCUUGCGGAUUGUGUCUUGAUAUAACAGGUUUAAGUCACUGCCGCCAUCCAUAAGGACUCUUGUAAAUUGUAGUCCGUCAAUAACCGGAUUCAAGAUCAAGGCAGUCCAGCCUGCGUUCCGGGUCCCUCUGGAGUAGUCCUGAUAAUCAAAGGUGAUUGGUUGUAACAACCAGUGGCGGUGCCCCUCUGGGGUGGGCCGCAUGGCGCGUGUCUUCGUGGGCGCCGUUCUGUUUUUCCCUUUUGUCAUCUGAAGUGAAUUUACUGUUUGGACUUCCUGUGGGAACUUAUUUUGUUCUCCGGUGUUCUUCUUGUGGGGUGCGUCGUCAUCCUUGCUUGGUGUGUCGAGCCCCUUGUGUUCGGCGUUGAGUUUGCCGGACUGUUUGAAGACCCAACAAUCUCUGUGGGUAUGGUUUGCAGGUCUCCCGGGGGUACUGUGGAUUUGACAUAUUUUGUCCAGGAUUUUGUUGAGGUUGGACAGCUCAUCCCUGUCAUCUUUGGGUGGCAGUUUUUUCUGAUUUUGCCGAGAGCUUUUGAAUCCGGCAUUGACUGCCGUGCUCAUCGGGCUAUUAUCCUUUAUCUGGCGCUGUUCUUUGUUACGACACGGUUUUCCGUUUCCAUCUCUGAGUUCGGAUGUACUCGGGUCGCUGGUGCUCCUUCUUGCCAACCAGCUAUCCUCUCCAGCGUAAAAGCGGGUCAUGAGGCUUGUUAAUGCAGCCAUUGUUCUUGGCUUUUCUUGGCCGAGGUUUCUGGCGAGCCAUUCGUCUUGGACGCUGUGUUUGAAAGCUGCUAGGGCCUCAGCGUCCGGACAGUCGACUAUCUGAUUCUUUUUAGUAAGGAAUCUGUUCCAAAGUUUCCAGGCUGACUCUCCGGGCUGCUGAGUUAUAUGACUCAGAUCAUCUGCGUCCGGAGGUCGGACGUAGGUCCCUUUAAAUUUUGCCCGGAAAGCGUCCUCGAGCACUUCCCAACUUCCUAUGGUGUUUUCGGGAAGGCUUUUAAGCCAAUGCCGGGCUGGCCCUUUGAGCUUAAGGGGUAAGUAUUUUAUGGCGUGAGGGUCAUCUCCUCUGGCCAUGUGUAUGUGGAGGAUAUAAUCCUCGAUCCAGACUCCGGGGUCUGUUGUUCCGUCGUAUGCUUCUAUGUUCACGGGCUUGAAUCCCGCUGGAAAUUCAUAAUCCAGCACCUUAUCGGUAAAACAUAGGGGAUGUGCGGCGCCCCUGUAUGUAGGUGUGCCGUGAUGUUCGGAUAUUUUUUGUAUUGCAUUGCUCGCUGGAGCUUGCUUUCUUGGCCCAUAUAUGGAUCUGGUUGGGCUAGUUUUUUGAUGUGAAUCCUUAGGUGGAUUGCGCGUCGAAUUGAGUGCGACGCCCUUUGUCGCUUGAGACCGAUCGUGGGGUCGUCUAUCCGACCUGGUGGCUUCCUUAUUUUUUGACUAUGGGGGCUUUAUGGCCUCUUCAUCAAAUUCCGGUAGUAGUUUCCGCUUUGGAUAGCUUUUUGUGUGACGACUGUUGCCGUACUUGUGUGCGGUAUUGAGUACUUUGCCCCAUCUGGUUCUGAGUGCAUCUUCCGCUGUUUUGAGCCUCCGCUUCUGCUUUUUCAGGCUACGUGCAGUUGCAACGAGCCUUUGGUGGAGGUUCUGAUGUUCCAGCGAUUCGUCCGGCGUGAGGUCGUCCGGACUAUUAUCCUUCCCGGAGAUUGGUUGUUUGGAUUGUCCGCCCUGUUUGGACGGUUGCUCGAUGGCAUGUUCGUCUUCCGUUGAUUCGCCCUGCUCUAUGGCUGGGUCUUUGUCGAGUUGGGGCUUGGCAUGGCGCAUACGUCGCCGCUUUGAUUGUUUGUCGAGGGAGCAAUCCCUGGUUGCGCCCUUUUGAUCCUCGUUAUCAUUUCUCUUAGGUGUGUCCACCAUGUAUACAUCAUAUGAUGAGGUGGCUUUCCAGUGCCCUAUAGGUGCUGGUUCUUGGUCGUCUCCUCCAUCGGCGUCCAUGCCGUCGAUGUCUUUGGAGUCGUAGUCGAGCAUGUCGGUUAGAUCGUCGACAGUGGCUACAAAGUGCGUGGUGGGUGGGUUUCGAAUUUCCUCAUCGUCCGUAUCCCAACCCUGCUGACCAUAGUCCGGCCAGGGCUCUCCUGACAAAGAGAGAGACUUUAGUGAAUCCAGGAUAUCGCCAAAGGGCGAGUGCUAAAAGAUGUCCGCGGUGGUGAACUCCAUGAUCGGAGCCCAAUCGGGUUCGAUCGAAAGGGGUGCGGAAUAUUCGGAGUCCGGAACGGAGUCCGGCACCUCGGAGUCACGGGCCUUGCAAAGGACUAGGAUGGUAUUCGGCUCUAUCGCCGUAGAGAUUGUGGCUCCCGGGGCGGCGUCCAACCGUCCGUCCCCGACUAGCGCAGUCGGCUCCGAGCUAAUGGUCGGAGCGAACACCCGAGCGGCACUCUGGGCGCUGUCCGGCGGCAGAGCUAGAUCAUGCCCAUCGAGACAGUGCGGCACGCUCGGCCGUGGCUCGAAUCCGUCGAAGAUCAAGUCCCCGCGGAUGUCGGCUGUGUAGUUUAAGCUUCCAAACCUGACCUGAUGGCCAGGGGCGUGGCUUCUGAUCUGCUCCAGAUGGCCAAGCGAGUUGGCCCACAGUGCGAAGCCGCCGAAUAUGAAGAUCUGUCCGGGGAGAAAAGUCUCACCCUGCACCGCGUCGUGGUUGACGAUCGAAGAUGCCAUCGGGCCUAAAGGUGACGACACAGAGGAACUCUCAAUGAAAACACCAAUGUCCGUGUCAAAACCAGCGGAUCUCGGGUAGGGGGUCCCGAACUGUGCGUCUAGGCGGAUGGUAACAGGAGACAAGGGACACGAUGUUUUUACCCAGGUUCGGGCCCUCUCGGUGGAGGUAAAACCCUACUCCUGCUUGAUUGAUAUUGAUGAUAUGGGUAUUACAAGAGUUGAUCUACCACGAGAUCAGAGAGGCUAAACCCUAGAAUCUAGCCUAUGGUAUGAUUGUUGUCUGUCCUACGGACUAAAACCCUCCGGUUUAUAUAGACACCGGAGAGGGCUAGGGUUACACAGAGUCGGUUACAAUGGGAGGAGAUCUUCAUAUCGUAUCACCAAGCUUGCCUUCCACGCCAAGGAAAGUCCCUAUCCGGACACGGGACGAAGUCUUCAAUCUUGUAUCUUCAUAGUCCGGGAGUCCGGCCAAAGGUCAUAGUCCGGCCAUUCGGACACCCCCUAAUCCAGGACUCCCUCAGCCGAGCUCAAGGUCCGCUCGCUCGCCGCCUCCUCACCGAUUCCAGCCCUGAUUGUUAAUACCCAGGCUAUGUAUCAGUUUUUCAAUCUAAUUUCAAUUGAAUCACUUCUCGUGCAUGACUGCAUGACCGCAGGUUGAUAGAUCACUUCUAUCUUAUUACUCUUUUCAAUCUAAUUUUUCACAUGUCCAUGAAUUCCUAGUUGGAUAUAAACUGCAGUCAUCCAUGGAUUUAGUAUCAAUUUUUCAGAAAUCAUGGCCAUCCAAUUUGAUAAGAAACUGGAAUCUAAAUCCAUCUAAUUUGAGUGUUGUUGAAACAUACUGAUUUUACUCUAUGCAAGUCAACCUGUAUCACUAGAUAAUUUUUUUGUACACAAUUGAAAGGAAUGAAGUAUGUACAGUAGUAGUAUCAGCAUAUUCAGAAGUAUCACUAACUGAAGGACAUCUGCACGUAUAUGUAAAUCGGUAACAAUCCUUUUACAUAAUCAAACUGAAUUCAGUUCGGUUCAGUUAGUCGAGUCAAACACUGACGAAUUCAUCCAACCCGACCAUGGUCACUCACCUCUUACUCCUCUCAGAACCUCACGUCUCUUCCUAUAUUUUCUUUGUAUGUUCUGUUUUAUGAACUUUGAUUAAAUUUGUCCACUAUUUGGAUCUAUUCCUAUGUAUGUCAUUUAUAUAAUGUAGUUCCAACGAGCAUAAUAUAGUUCCGAGAAUCUCUAUAUUGUAGCAAGCUCCUUGGAACUGCUGUGCUCAAUGUGUAAAGAGAAGACAAGGCUUUUGAUUCUAAAUUAUGCAUCACAGACAUAUUAAAUGAUGGUCUGCAUGUUUCCAUUAUGGCUUUCCCUCUGAAUUUUUAGAACACAUCAUUACAAGGAUAUCAGAUUUCUUUUUGGCCUAAUUCUCUGCACCUAACUACCUAUUUCAAUUCAUGACCAUUACUUGGUCAACCAUGCUUUUAGCACUUCACCAUACUGUUUGCAUCUUUGUCCCAUUGAAGUUUUUUCAUGGGCGAUUGAUGCGGUGACAUAAUGUGCAAACAGCAAGACGUUGAUUUGUGAACUAUAUAUUUACAUGCGGUAUAGGUUAAUAUUGAUCUGUGAUUUUCCUCCGAAUUUAUGAAGACGUCGUAUUGAGGUUAUCACCUUUUUUUAUAGGAACAAAGUGUCAUCUUCGCAUCAGAAUAUGCCACGUUCUUUGUUUAGAUAUGCCUAACUUCUUACCUGAUCCAAUUCUGAACCUUACUUGGUCAACCUGUUUUUAGCACUUAAUAAUAUUCUUUGCAUCUUUGUUCCAGUGACAUAUAUGAGUAUAUCAUGUGCGAUUGAGGCUAUCCUGCUGAAGGGUAGGAAGACGGAGGAGCAGAUUCUAACAGCAAGCGUUAAUUUCUGAGUAAUCUUAUGUAUAUAUUAUUUAUAGGACUGCUGUUGUGGUGCCGACCAUGGCAACGAAGUGUGCGGCUGUUUAGUUCAGAUUGAAAUUCAGAAGGAUAGGGAGAACUCAACUCUACAGAACUCAAGUACACCUCUGAAUCUAUGCACUCGAUUGAUUUAUGAGCAAUUUUUAUGCACUAAAUUGGCCUAUAGACAUGUCCGAUUUAUGCUAAUGCAGUAGACCAGACGAGAUACCCCAAUGAUAAAUAAUUUUUUAAUCAAACAUCUAACUAAUACUAUCAUGCUUAAGUAAUUUUAGCUUACUACAUGGUUAAAAAUAUAUUAUAUUAUAUCAUUAUACGCUGUCUUCUUCUGGCUAAUUUUUUAUAAAGCCAAGUGUUGAAGUCACUAUGACACAAAGCCCGGCCAUGGUGACCCUCCAAGACCUCGACGACGGUGCUAUGGUACGAAUCCCUCCUCCCCUUCUCUUCUACUUCUCCGUCUCUCUCUGACCCCCAUCUCUCCUCUCGUCUCUUCUCUGUAGGUGACUGAUGUAGGAUGAACAGCGCUAAGGAACGGGACGACGCCGAUGCCAAAGGAAGCUCUGGCAGAGGAGAGCAGCCUCCUUCUCCUCCAUCUCUCUGCUUGCUCGGGUCUGGUUCUAGCCUGAUUUAAAAAAACGUUUUUUGCUUUCUCCCUUUCUGAUUCAGACUUGAGCACGAGCAGAUUCACUAGUUGGAGCUAUAUAUGGUGGUUGUUAUGUUAAUCAAAUCAUUAGGCGUUCCCCAUCCAUACCAUACAAUUGAUUGGUUUACUGCUUGCUUGGUUGUCAAGUGAGGUGUUUGUUUACUCUGCUUGAUUACUGCAACAACACAAUUAAUUAACCAACAUACAUGCAUACUUGGCUUGAGAAAAUAUGGAUGCGUGUGGAAACCUGCGGAAGACAAACUAAAUGUAGCCAUUAGCUAUGUUGCUAGGUGCCAAACAGAAGAAAUGACUAUUUUAGAUGUUUGGAGCUGGGGUAUCUUACUUAGCACCAUGUGUAAUUGUUUUACAGCACUGACUUAAUCAUGUUUGUUGCUGCUGCUAUGGCAUAUGGAGAAUAAUUUAGGCACCAUAAGCGUAAUAUCAUUAUAAACUUCUGAGAUGCGUGAUCUUUAGUACUGUAGUACUUGCUCGUAUCAGAUCAUCAAAUGUGCGAUCUUUUGUUCAAAGACGGUUCUCAUCGCAGGAAUCAAUGGGCGCUGGUUGUUGUGAUAGUACUAGUCUUAAUGCUGCAAGGGGAACUAUUUUUACAUUCUAUCACAGUAAUCACACACUAGUACAUAGGGAUCUAUUAGCUUAGCAAAACUGGCAUUUUGGCUGAGUAUUAAAUAGCAAAAUGUCCCUUCAUCUGUCGCUGCUUACUUGUCUAAGCCUGACAAUAUUAUUCCAUCUAAUUGUUGUGUGUUGUUAUCUUGAAUACAUUUCUCUUUUAAUUUAUUUUCAAUCUUCCAAGCCUGGACAUAGUUAUUGUAUCUUAUUAUCAUCUUUGGAAGUGGCCGGACCCUUCCGCGAACCCUACGCAAGCAGGAGCUAUGUGCAGCGCGCUGCCCUUUUUUAUCAUCUUGAAACACUACUUGUUUUAUUCUCUGUGCACCGUGUUUGCUGGAGACUAACAUUCUCUUAUUUAACCAUGCAGUGAUUACCUCUUCAAGCUAUUGCUUAUUGGAGACUUAGGUGUUGGCAGGUCAUGUCUUCUGUUAAGAUUUGCAGUAAGAAUCUCUAUCUCAAGCAUGAUCCAUUUUGCUAUCUCUUUCCCGUCUAUAUAUUAUGGAAGGUUUCCAUGUUAAAAUUUCGGUAGUUGAUGGAUACAUCAUGGAGUUGACCAUUUUGUUUAUAGGAUGUGUAAGCUGAAUCAUUAUUCACAAUUGUUCGAAUUUAAAUUGUUCAACAUGAAUAGUUCAUUAUUGGUAGCUAGUACAUUUUUUUAAAACAAGAUGAUGGGCAUCCUUAUAUACUACUCCAUCUGUAAACUAAUAUAAGAGCGUUUAGAUCACUCCAUGUGUACAUUUAUUCUGCCCGAUUUAAAAUGGUGCUCUCUGGAGAGUCAACGUUGACCCCGGCGCUGUUUUGAAGAGCAGUGGGAAUCAAUUUUGGGAUGUCCUUUGUUGGCGAUUUCCCUAUCCAUGAAAUGAUAAAUUUUGAACAGAUGUUAACUGUCAAAUAUUUCAAGCAUAUAUAGCUCAAAUACACUAGUAUUUCUUGAAUGCACCAAAACAAGAAGAUAGCAUGAACACGUACAGCUAGGGUAUGCAUUUAGUAGGUGUUUUUUCAUUUUGAAGAUUCAUAAUAGACUAAAAGAGACAGAUAAUUGAAGAAAAUACCCUACUAGAUCUGCACGAGGGCGCGAACUAACAAGUUUUCACUUUCUCGACUGGGUGCAGGGUGAUCGACGAGGUCUUCAGUGGCCCGAUGGGAGUCGUGCUUUUCAACUACUCGGAGGCAGACUUCACCGUGAAGCCCUGCGACCGUGUCAUAGAGAUUAUCGUCCAGGUGAUUGCGAUGCAGGAGGUCCCCGGGGUGGAGGACCUCGACGCCACCGUCCGGAGGUCACCGAGGUGGAGGACGACGCCACCGUCCGGAGUUCCUCAAGGUGGAGGACCUCGACGCUUUGUACAUACAUCUAGAGAAGUGGUCUGGUUAGGUUGGUGGUGAAAUGUUAGGGAAGGUACCAACCUUUUGAUGAUGGUUGUGUGUGUCCUCGUGAUCUCUUCGAAUUGAGAUGUUGAAUGUUGCAUCCAUGAACAUUGCAAGUGUUAAGAUGGUUUUGUGAAAUUUAUUUUGCACUGGACGUGUCUGAUCUCCAUUCAUGAAUACUGCAUCUAUUUUUAUUUUUUUAAUUCCUAAUUUGCUACUAGUAGCGUUGGGAAAAAAGUUCCCUACUAGUAUUUAGGAUACUAGUAGCGCUGGUAUUGUAGGCACGCUACUACUACUUCAUUAGUAGUAGCGCGAGUCUGUAAUAGCAGUAGCGCGGGUGGCACACGCUACUACUAACAAAGUUAGUAGUAGCGCGGGUUUCUCCCACGCUACUACUAACUAUUAGCUGUAGCGCCUUAUUAGUAGCGCCGGUCCCCGCGCUGCUGAUACACCUAAAACCCGCGCUGCUGCUAGCCUUUUUCCUAGUAGUGUAGGGUUACAUAUGGUCGGUUACCAUCAGGGGAUAAGCAUGUCGGUUACGCUAACCAAACUUGGAUGACAUGCCAAGUCUUCGGAGAUUUCCUUCUAGAGCAUGGAGUCGCCUGUAGUCCGGCCUUCCUUCGAUGAAUCAAGAGUGGCCCACCAGUCCGGCCUAUGAGAGAUAGGCCGGCACCCCGAGGACCCCUUAGUCCAUGGCACCCUCACCUCCACUUGGUUUGGAGGGCACUUCUCCCCUCCUUGGCCGCCACCCCCUCCCUUAGAGGAGGGGCAAGGGCUGGCCACGUCCCUCCCCCUAUAUAAAUAGAGAGGAGGCGCAAGGGGUAGCCCAUCCCUUCACCACGGCGGUUGUCCUCUCCCUCUCCCUCCACUUCUCGUCCCUGUAGCGCUUGGCGUAGCCUUGCCGGAAUUCCGCUGCCACCAUCACCACCACCACGCCAUCGUGUUAGACCAGAUCUAAUCUACUUCUUCUCCCUCGCUUGCUAGAUCAAGGAGGAGGAGACGUCAUCGAGCCGUACAUGUGCUAAACUCGGAGGUGACGCACAUGCGGUGCUUGGAUCGGAUUGGAUCACGACGCGAGUACGACUACGCCAACCACGAUCUCUAGAUCAUUAAUGCUUUCGAUCUACAAGGGUAUGUAGACUCACUCCCCUCUCGUAGGUAUGCAUCUCCUAGAUUGAUCUUGGGUGUUCGUAGGAUUUUUUUUUAUUUUCAUGCUUGUUCCCNNNNNNNNNNNNNNNNNNNNNNNNNNNNNNNNNNNNNNNNNNNNNNNNNNNNNNNNNNNNNNNNNNNNNNNNNNNNNNNNNNNNNNNNNNNNNNNNNNNNNNNNNNNNNNNNNNNNNNNNNNNNNNNNNNNNNNNNNNNNNNNNNNNNNNNNNNNNNNNNNNNNNNNNNNNNNNNNNNNNNNNNNNNNNNNNNNNNNNNNNNNNNNNNNNNNNNNNNNNNNNNNNNNNNNNNNNNNNNNNNNNNNNNNNNNNNNNNNNNNNNNNNNNNNNNNNNNNNNNNNNNNNNNNNNNNNNNNUUGGUUCCAGCUGGACGGAUUUCGAUCGUCCAGACCGGUCUGAACAACUUUGUUGACCGCCGUUGGAUGGCGAAAAAUGUUCAGACUGUUCGGUCCGACCAUUUUGAGGUGAUUUGGUGAUCCGCAUUGGAGUUGCCCUAAGCACUUGGGCGUGUCGAACCAUGGGAGGAGGACAAACUAUCUCAAAGACUUCACAAUAAACUUUGUUUAUUGCUUGGAUUCUUUCAUCAAAAUUGGAAGAACCAUGCACUACCAUACCGUCGAUGGAUUUGUUAGAUGGACAAGCUGUUUGUGUACCAUGAUUUGCACAAUUUUUUGCUACUAUCAAUGGUUGGUGUUUUUGGAUAGAUGGCGGUAUUGUCAAUGGUACAAUUUUUGCUGUUAUAUUUUUUUCAGCAAUCUUUAGUACUGUUCAUUUUUGUAGUUCAACCCUAUUUGUAAUGAGCAAAACUUUAAAAGCAUUAUAAUUGUAAUAUUUAACACUUGAUGAUAUUCAUAAAUCACUUUCGUGCUCAUAUUUGAACAAAAACACUUCGAAACAACAAAGUGUUAACAUUCAUCAAAACAAUUUAUGUCUAAGGGCGAUAGAGACAUUUCAGCAAUAUAACUUAAUCCACAAUCUUAAAUUGCAAUCUUAGCAAAGAAUUUAAUGGCAGAUUCUAUGGAUUAUGCAGAAUCCUCGGCAUAACGAACUGACGCUCAAUAUUACUCCCUCCGUUUCAUAAUAUAAAAACGUUUUUGACAUUAGUCACUCUUAUAUUAUACUCACACCGUCCAAAAAUAUUUAUCAAAAAAAUAGAUGUAUCUAGACAUAUUUAAAUUCUAGUACCACCUUUUUGACACAUGUACUGCCGGUACACCACGGCUGGACCGCAGGAGACCUGCCGCAUCUCCGAUUAUUAACAUAAACUAUUCCAACAGGGCCAUAGCUCCAGAAAAAAUAUAUUAUCUCCGGAUCAAAUUAGCAAGAGCUCUUCCCUUUCACAUGGAGCUGCUCGCUUUCGCUUAUCCCAUCCGUUUCUGCUUGUUCCGGUCCAAGAAUACAUGAAUGACUGGACCACGAGGAUGGAUUGAACAGCAAAGUUCACUGUAACCCACACAUGCCUUAAUAAUACGUAAUAAUGAAAGUAGUAAAAACGCGGCUGGUGACCGCACUUAUACUCUCUAUAUACAUACACUCGGAGAUCCGAUCAGGUCGGAGACUUUUCAGCCUCCAGCUUACGUGGAGUGCUAAUUAACCCAUCUGGUGGAUAUCUUCCAACAAAAAUAUCGAUCGAGCCAGCAGAACUACUCAGGACAGGCGCCCAGCCCAGCCAGAACGCCAACCAUUUUAAAUUCAAUCGAAAGGAGAAAAGAACGAACUCAGCAGGCAACAGCAGCAUCUCCAUUUUCAAAGCCAGCCGGAGGCCGGAGCGGCUGUGCCUCAGGUGCUCUAUCUAUCCGGGAAGGGAACUCGCCGCUGGCUGGAGGUGGUCGUUAGCAUGUCAAGUUGUUUUCUUUCGAGCUCUCGUUAGCACGUCACGUUGACGUGGACGCCCGAGCGUGAACUCCGUAGCUAUCCGAGCAUCCGCCUACAAAAGGGGCAAAGCGGUGCCCGGAGCUGCUCCAUCCAUCAUCAUCUCCUCUACCCAGCCAGACCUGUCCCGAGCCAAUCAUACAGUGCGGCGCGUGCGACUGCGAGCAGAGCUUCUAGCAGAGGAGGGAAGGAGCGAGCGGGAUGCUGGAAGGGAAGGCGACGGUGGAGGACACCGACAUGCCGGCCAAGAUGCAGCUGCAGGCUACGUCGGCGGCGUCCAGGGCGCUCGACCGCUUCGACGUCCUCGACUGCCGGAGCAUCGCGGCGCACAUCAAGAAGGUGAGAAACAUGCCAAUCCCGCCCCCAAAUCUAUAAGCUGCUGAAUCUGCAAGUAACAAGCUAGGACAGUGCAAGUGCUGCCGAAUGAUUGGAUCUGAUUUGGACGGCUGCACUGCAGGAGUUCGACACGAUCCAUGGCCCGGGGUGGCAGUGCGUGGUCGGCUGCAGCUUCGGCUGCUACUUCACGCACAGCAAGGGGAGCUUCAUAUACUUCAAGCUCGAGUCGCUCCGGUUCCUCGUCUUCAAAGGCAUGGCGGAUGAGCAACCGCUGCCGUGCUGAUCCGCUCCGCGCAUAUUUUCACGGCCUGCUGGACUACUACUUGAUUACGGGGCGGCGGCUAGUAGUGUGAAACAGUUCCAUGAAAUGCGCCAAUAUGGAUAAGAUGUAAGCUUUUGCAUCGCAAUUCGCGAGUGUGGUCUAAAACUCUGAAUGCGUUGAAUGGUGGAAUUGAUCUUCAAAUAUGAUGUUCCGCCUUGAUUCAGACGAAUACAGAUAAAUUGUUUCAGUAUUUUUUGGUCGAAAGAUGCUCCUAGUGUAACUCGCCUGUAAGUGACUAAUCCUUUCUGGCUGGAAGAAUAAACAAAAAAAAUCAUCAAUGAUAAAUUUUUUUGUCUCCGACCUACCGGAUUCGAACCAGUGACCUAAGGAUUUAUCUGUAAAUACUACAGUCCUCCGCUCUACCAACUGAGCUAAGGUCGGGUUACAUAUUAACAUCUUAUUAACGGCAACACCAGUUUUGUGUUGGUGAUAUCCAUCGAGUCAAACUUCACAUUAACAUGAACACCAACUGAGUUCAAUUGGUUAAACUUGUUUUAUGCUCGAAAAAUUUACUGCUUCAAAAAACUCUUUUAUUCGAUGGGAGGGUGUUGAUGAAGAGGCUAAACGAGUACCUAACACAAAGGCAAUUCAAUAAGGACCUACUAUCAUAACAAACCGUGACACUGAUUGGAACAACCACAUAGGCAAGGACAUACCUAGGUUGAGAUACAAUUCUAGAAAAGGCAAAGUUCAACUUUGUUUCCUCUCUUCCCGCAAAAAAAAAAAAUCCUCUCUACUUUGGUACCCAAAACCUUCUUCCUCUUCUGGGGACACAGAGUGAAAUUGUUUGGAAUUUCGGGAACCGGCCUGUAGACGACGAGAUGCUCAUGUACUAUGCUUAGGGCAUCUUCAACGGCGACCCGCAAAUUUUCUCCCGCGUUCGUCCGCAGACAGGACGGGACCAGUCUGAUGGAUGCGGAAGGCCGUCAUCCAACCGUAGCCAUAAAUGUUCGUCUCUGCUAAAGUUUAAUUGCCAAAUAACUACGUGAUUUCCUUUACAAAAAACUAUGAUUAGUAGCUUUUUGUUUAGCGAAAGGCUAUUAAUCCAUGUGCCAGUGUAUUUUCCGUCAAAGCUAGCUUUCUUGGCAAGAAGUAAUAAAGAACCUUAAUAGAAAACUAAUCACCUUGUCAAAUGCUAAUCAUACAGCAAAAAGUAACCUUUCACCAAAUGCUCAAAUACUAAUCAUCUUGCCAAAUGCUAAUCAUAUGACAAUAAGUAACCUUCCGCUGAAUGACCAAAUAUAUUUGCAAAGGAUUAUAGUGAUGUCUCUGGUCAAUAACCAAUAGCGGAACCUGGAUGUUCAUAUUGGCGCCCACAUAUUCUAUGAAGAUCUUUAUCGGUUAAAUCGCAUAACAACAUACGUUGUUCCCUUUGUCAUCGAUACGUUACUUGCCCGAGAUUCGAUCGUCGGUAUCUCAAUACCUAGUUCAAUCUCGUUACUGGCAAGUCUCUUUACUCGUUCCGUAAUGCAUCAUCCCGCAACUAACUCAUUAUUCACAUUGCUUGCAAGGAUUAUAGUGAUGUGCAUUACCGAGAGGGCCCAGAGAUACCUCUCCGACAAUCGGAGUGACAAAUCCUAAUCUUGAUCUAUGCCAACUCAACAAGUAGCAUCGAAGACACAUGUAGAGCACAUUUAUAAUCACUCAGUUACGUUGUGACGUUUGGUAGCACACAAAGUGUUCCUCCGGUAUUCGGGAGUUGCAUAAUCUCAUAGUCAUAGGAAUAUGUAUAAGUCACAAAGAAAGCAAUAGCAACAUACUAAACAAUCAAAUUCUAAGCUAAUGGAAUGGGUCAAGUCAGUCACAUCAUUCUCUAAUGAUGUGAUCCCGUUAAUCAAAUGGCAACUCAUGUCUAUGGCUAGGAAACUUAACCAUCUUUGAUUCAACGAGCUAGUCAAGUAGAGGCAUACUAGUGACACUCUGUUUGUCUAUGUAUUCACACAUGUACUAAUUUUCCAGUUAAUACAGAUCUAGCAUGAAUAAUAAACAUUUAUCAUGAUAUAAUGAAAUAUAAAUAACAACUUUAUUAUUGCCUCUAGGGCAUAUUUCCUUCAGUCUCCCACUUGCACUAGAGUCAAUAAUCUAGAUUACACAGUAAUGAUUCUAACACCCAUGGAGCCUUGGUGUUGAUCAUGUUUUGCUUGUGAGAGAGGCUUAGUCAAUGGGUCUGCAAUAUUCAGAUCCGUAUGUAUCUUGCAAAUAUCUAUGUCUCCCUCCUUGACUUGAUCACGGAUGGAAUUGAAGCGUCUUUUUAUGUGCUUGGUUCUCUUGUGAAAUCUGGAUUCCUUUGCCAAAGAAAUUGCACCAGUAUUGUCACAAAAGAUUUUCAUUGGACCCAAUGCACUAGGUAUGACACCUAGAUCGGAUAUGAACUCCUUCAUCCAGACUCCUUCAUUUGCUGCUUCCGAAGCAGCUAUGUACUGUGCUUCACACGUAGAUCCUGCCACGAUGCUUUUCUUAGAACUGCACCAACUGAUAGCUCCACCGUUCAAUAUAAACAAGUAUCUGGUUUGAGACUUAGAGUCAUCUGGAUCAGUGUCAAAGCUUGCAUCGACAUAACUAUUUACGACGAGUUCUUUGUCACCUCCAUAAAUGAGAAACAUAUCCUUAGGCCUUUUUAGGUAUUUCAGGAUGUUCUUGACCGCUGUCUAGUGAUCCACUCCUGGAUUACUUUGGCACCUCCCUGCUAAACUGAUAGCAAGGCACACAUCAGGUCUGGAACACAACAUUGCAUACAUGAUAGAGCCUAUGGCUGAAGCAUAGGGAACACCUUUCAUUUUCUCUCUAUCUUCUAUAGUGGUCGGGCAUUGAGUCUGACUCAACUUCACACCUUGUAACACAGGCAAGCACCCUUUCUUUGCUUGAUCCAUUUUGAACUUCUUCAAAACUUUAUCAAGGUAUGUGCUUUGUGAAAGUCCAAUUAAGCAUCUUGAUCUAUCUUUAUAGAUCUUGAUGCCUAAUAUAUCAGCAACUUCACCGAGGUCUUUCAUAGAAAAACUCUUGUUCAAGUAUCCUUUUAUACUAUCCAGAAAUUCUAUAUCAUUUCCAAUCAACAAUAUGUCAUCCACAUAUAAUAUUAGAAAUGCUACAGAGCUCCCACUCACUUUCUUGUAAAUACAGGCUUCUCCAAUAGUCUGUAUAAGCAUCUCGGAGUUGGCAUAUGGUUUUAUACAGACUUUUGGAGAAGCCUGUAUUUACAAGAAAGUGAGUGGGAGCUNNNNNNNNNNNNNNNNNNNNNNNNNNNNNNNNNNNNNNNNNNNNNNNNNNNNNNNNNNNNNNNNNNNNNNNNNNNNNNNNNNNNNNNNNNNNNNNNNNNNNNNNNNNNNNNNNNNNNNNNNNNNNNNNNNNNNNNNNNNNNNNNNNNNNNNNNNNNNNNNNNNNNNNNNNNNNNNNNNNNNNNNNNNNNNNNNNNNNNNNNNNNNNNNNNNNNNNNNNNNNNNNNNNNNNNNNNNNNNNNNNNNNNNNNNNNNNNNNNNNNNNNNNNNNNNNNNNNNNNNNNNNNNNNNNNNNNNNNNNNNNNNNNNNNNNNNNNNNNNNNNNNNNNNNNNNNNNCUGUAGCAUUUCUGAUAUUAUAUGUAGAUGACAUAUUAUUAAUUGGAAAUGAUAUAGAAUUUCUGGAUAGCAUAAAGGGAUACUUGAAUAAAGUUUUUCAAUGAAAGAUCUAGGUGAAGCUGCUUACAUAUUGGGCAUCAAGAUCUAUAGAGAUAGAGCAAGACGCUUAAUAGGACUUUCACAACGCACAUACCUUGAUAAAAUUUUGAAAAAGUUCAAAAUGGAUCAGGCAAAGAAAGGGUUCUUGCCCGUGCUUCAAGGUGUGAAGUUGAGUCAAACUCAAUGCCCAACCACAGCAGAAGAUAGAGAGAAAAUGAAAGAUAUUCAUUAUGCUUUAGCCAUAGGCUCUAUCAUGUAUGCAAUGUUAUGUACCAGACCUGACGUAUGCUUAGCAAUAAGUUUGGCAGGGAGGUACCAAAGUAAUCCAGGAGUGGAUCACUGGACAGCGGUCAAGAACAUCCUGAAAUACCUGAAAAGGACCAAGGAUAUGUUUCUCGUAUAUGGAGGUGACAAAGAGCUAGUCGUAAAUGGUUACGUCGAUGCAAGCUUUGACACUGAUUCGGACGAUUCUAAAUCGCAAACCGGAUACGUGUUUUUAUUAAACGGUGGUGCUGUAAGUUGGUGCAGUUCUAAACAAAGCGUCAUGGCGGGAUCUUCAUGUGAAGCUGAGUACAUAGCUGCUUCGGAAGCAGCAAAUGAAGGAGUCUAGAUGAAGGAGUUCAUUUCUGAUCUAGGUGUCAUACCUAGUGCAUCGGGACCAAUGAAGAUCUUCUGUGACAAUAUUGGUGCAAUUGCUUUGGCAAAGGAAUCCAGAUUUCACAAGAGGACCAAGCACAUCAAGAGACGCUUCAAUUCCAUCCGGGACCAAGUCCAAGUGGGAGACAUAGGAAUUUGCAAGAUACAUACGGAUCUGAAUGUUGCAGACCCUUUGACUAAGCCUCUCUCACGAGCAAAUCAUGAUCAGCACCAAGACUCCAUGGGUGUUAGAAUCAUUACUAUGUAAUCUAGAUUAUUGACUCUAGUGCAAGUGGGAGACUGAAGGAAAUAUGCCCUAGAGGCAAUAAUAAAGUUAUUAUUUAUUUCCUCAUAUCAUGAUAAAUGUUUAUUAUUCAUGCUAGAAUUGUAUUAACCGGAAACAUGAUACAUGUGUGAAUACAUAGACAAACAUAUAGUCACUAGUAUGCCUCUACUUGUCUAGCUCAUUAAUCAAAGAUGGUUAUGUUUCCUAACCAUAGACAUGUGUUGUCAUUUGAUUAAUGGGAUCACAUCAUUAGGAGAAUGAUGUGAUUGACAUGACCCAUUCCGUUAGCCUAGCACUUGAUCGUUUAGUAUAUUGCUAUUGCUUUCUUCAUGACUUAUACAUGUUCCUGUAACUAUGAGAUUAUGCAACUCCCGUUUACCGGAGGAACACUUUGGGUACUACCAAACGUCACAACGUAACUGGGUGAUUAUAAAGGAGUACUACAGGUGUCUCCGAAGGUACAUGUUGAGUUGGCGUAUUUCGAGAUUAGGUUUUGUCACUCCGAUUGUCUGAGAGGUAUCUCUGGGCCCUCUCGGUAAUGCACAUCACUAUAAGCCUUGCAAGCAAUGUGACCAAUGAGUUGGUUACGGGAUGAUGCAUUACGUAACGAGUAAAGAUACUUGCUAGUAACGAGAUUGAACUAGGUAUUGGAUACCGACAAUCAAAUCUUGGGCAAGUAACAUACCGAUGACAAAGGGAACAACGUAUGUUGUUAUGCGGUUUGACCGAUAAAGAUCUUCGUAGAAUAUGUAGGAACCAAUAUGGGCAUCCAGGUUCCGAUAUUGUUUAUUGACCGAGAAUAGUUCUAGGUCAUGUCUACAUUGUUCUCGAACCCGUAGGGUCCGCACGCUUAACGUUACGAUGACAGUUUUAUUAUGAGUUUAUAAGUUCUGAUGUACCGAAGUUUGUUCGGAGUCCCGGAUGUGAUCACGGACAUGACGAGGAGUCUUGAAAUGGUCGAGACAUAAAGAUUGAUAUAUUGGACGACUAUAUUCGGACACCGGAAGUCUUCCGGGUGAUUUCGGAGAAAACCGGAGUGCCGGAGGGUUACCGGAACCCCCCCCCCCCCGGGAGAGUUAAUGGGCCACAUGGGCCUUAGUGGGAAGAGAGAGGGGCGGCCAGGGUGGGCCGCGCGCCCCCUCUCCCUCUGGUCCGAAUUGGACUAGGAGGGGGGCGGCGCCCCCCUCUUUCCUUCCCCCUCUCCCCCUUCCUUUCCCCCUCCUAGUAGGAGUAGGAAAGGGGGAGUCCUACUCCUACUAGGAGGAGGACUCCUCCUCCUUGGCGCGCCCCAAGGGGCCGGCCGGCCUCCCCCCUUGCUCCUUUAUAUACGAGGGCAGGGGGGCACCCUAGAACACACAAGUUGAUCUACGGAUCGUUCCUUAGCCGUGUGCGGUGCCCCCCUCCACCAUAUUCCACCUCGGUCAUAUCAUCGCGGAGAUUAGGCGAAGCCCUGCGCCGGUAGAGCAUCAUCAUCGUCACCACGCCGUCGUGCUGACAGAACUCAUCCCCGAAGCUUUGCUGGAUCGGAGCCCGGGGAUCGUCAUCGAGCUGAACGUGUGCUGAACUCGGAGGUGCCGUACGUUCGGUACUUGGAUCGGUCGGAUCGUGAAGACGUACGACUACAUCAACCGCGUUGUCAUAAUGCUUCCGCUUACGAUCUACGAGGGUACGUGGACAACACUCUCCCCUCUCAUUGCUAUGCCAUCACCAUGAUCUUGCGUGUACGUAGGAAAUUUUUGAAAUUACUGCGUUCCCCAACAGUGGCAUCCGAGCCAGGUUUUAUGCGUAGAUGUCAUAUGCACGAGUAGAACACAAGUGAGUUGUGGGCGAUACAAGUCAUACUGCUUACCAGCAUGUCAUACUUUGGUUCGGCGGUAUUGUGAGAUGAAGCGGCCCGGACCGACAUUACGCGUACGCUUACGCGAGACUGGUUUCACCGUUACGAGCACUCGUUCUUAAAGGUGGCUGGCGGGUGUCUGUCUCUCUCACUUUAGCUGAAUCGAGUGUGGCUACGCCCGGUCCUUGUGAAGGUUAAAACAGCACUAACUUGACGAACUAUCGUUGUGGUUUUGAUGCGUAGGUAAGAACGGUUCUUGCUAAGCCCGUAGCAGCCACGUAAAAUUUGCAACAACAAAGUAGAGGACGUCUAACUUGUUUUUUUGCAGGGCAUGUUGUGAUGUGAUAUGGUCAAGACGUGAUGCUAUAUUUUAUUGUAUGAGAUGAUCAUCUUUUGUAACCGAAGUUAUCGGCAACUGGCAGGAGCCAUAUGGUUGUUGCUUUAUUGUAUGAAAUGCAAACGCCCUGUAAUUGCUUUACUUUAUCACUAAGCGGUAGCAAUAGUCGUAGAAGCAAUAGAUGGCGUAACGACAACGAUGCUACGAUGUAGAUCAAGGUGUCACGCCGGUGACGAUGGUGAUCACGACGGUGCUUCGAAGAUGGAGAUCACAAGCACAAGAUGAUGAUGGCCAUAUCAUAUCACUUAUAUUGAUUGCAUGUGAUGUUUAUCCUUUAUGCAUCUUAUCUUGCUUUGAUUGACGGUAGCAUUUUAAGAUGAUCUCUCACUAAUUAUCAAGAAGUGUUCUCCCUGAGUAUGCACCGUUGCGAAAGUUCUUCGUGCUGAGACACCACGUGAUGAUCGGGUGUGAUAGGCUCUACGUUCAAAUACAACGGGUGCAAAACAGUUGCACACGCGGAAUACUCGGGUUAAACUUGACGAGCCUAGCAUAUACAGAUAUGGCCUCGGAACACGGAGACCGAAAGGUCGAGCGUGAAUCAUAUAGUAGAUAUGAUCAACAUAAUGAUGUUCACCAUUGAAACUACUCCAUCUCACGUGAUGAUCGGACAUGGUUUAGUUGAUUUGGAUCACGUGAUCACUUAGAUGACUACAGAGAUGUCUGUCUAAGUGGGAGUUCUUAAGUAAUAUGAUUAAUUGAACUUAAAUUUAUGAUGAACUUAGUACCUGAUAGUAUUUUGCUUGUCUAUGUUUGUUGUAGAUAGAUGGCCCGUGCUAUUGUUCCGUUGAAUUUUAAUGCGUUCCUUGAGAAAGCAAAGUUGAAAGAUGAUGGUAGCAAUUACACAGACUGGGUCCGUAACCUGAGGAUUAUCCUCAUUGCUGCACAGAAGAAUUACGUCCUGGAAGCACCGCUGGGUGCUAGGCCUGCUGCUGAUGCAACUGACGACGUUAAGAACGUCUGGCAGAGCAAAGUUGAUGACUACUCGAUAGUUCAGUGUGCCAUACUUUACGGCUUAGAACCGGGUCUUCAACGACGUUUUGAACUUCAUGGGGCAUAUGAGAUAUUCCAGGAGUUGAAGUUAAUAUUUCAAGCAAAUGCCCGGAUUGAGAGAUAUGAAGUCUCCAAUAAGUUCUAUAGCUGCAAGAUGGAAGAGAAUAGUUCUGUCAGUGAACACAUACUCAAAAUGUCUGGGUAUAAUAAUCACUUGAUUCAACUGGGAGUUAAUCUUCCUGAUGAUAGUGUCAUUGACAGAAUUCUCCAAUCACUGCCACCAAGCUACAAGAGCUUCGUGAUGAACUAUAAUAUGCAAGGGAUGGACAAGACUAUUCCCGAGCUCUUCGCAAUGCUAAAAGCCGCGGAGGUAGAAAUCAAGAAGGAGCAUCAAGUGUUGAUGGUUAACAAGACCACCAGUUUCAAGAAAAAGGGCAAAGGGAAGAAGAAGAGGAACUUCAAGAAGAACAGCAAACAAGUUGCUGCUCAAGAGAAGAAACCCAAGUCUGGACCAAAGCCUGAAACUGAGUGCUUCUACUGCAAUCAGACUGGACACUGGAAGCAGAACUGCCCCAAGUAUUUGGCGGAUAAGAAGGAUGGCAAAGUAAACAAAGGUAUAUGUGAUAUACAUGUUAUUGAUGUGUACCUUACUAAUGCUCGCAGUAGUACCUGGGUAUUUGAUACUGGUUCUGUUGCUAAUAUUUGCAACUCGAAACAGGGACUACGGAUUAAGCAAAGAUUGGCUAAGGACGAGGUGACGAUGCGCGUGGGAAAUGGUUCCAAGGUCGAUGUCAUCGCGGUCGGCACGCUACCUCUACAUCUACCAUCGGGAUUAGUUUUAGACCUAAAUAAUUGUUAUUUGGUGCCAGCGUUAAGCAUGAACAUUAUAUAUGGAUCUUGUUUGAUGCGAGACGGUUAUUCAUUUAAAUCAGAGAAUAAUGGUUGUUCUAUUUAUAUGAGUAAUAUCUUUUAUGGUCAUGCACCCUUGAAGAGUGGUCUAUUUUUAUUGAAUCUCGAUAGUAGUGAUACACAUAUUCAUAGUGUUGAAACCAAAAGAUGCAGAGUUGAUAAUGAUAGUGCAACUUAUUUAUGGCACUGCCAUUUAGGUCAUAUCGGUGUAAAGCGCAUGAAGAAACUCCAUACUGAUGGGCUUUUGGAAUCACUUGAUUAUGAAUCACUUGGUACUUGCGAACCAUGCCUUAUGGGCAAGAUGACUAAAACGCCGUUCUCCAGAACUAUGGAGCGAGCAACUGAUUUAUUGGAAAUCAUAAAUACUGAUGUUUGUGGUCCAAUGAAUGUUGAGGCUCGCGGCGGGUAUCGUUAUUUUCUCACCUUCACAGAUGACUUGAGCAGAUAUGGGUAUAUCUACUUGAUGAAACACAAGUCUGAAACAUUUGAAAAGUUCAAAGAAUUUCAGAGUGAAGUGGAAAAUCAUCAUAACAAGAAAAUAAAGUUUCUACGAUCUGAUCGUGGAGGAGAAUAUUUGAGUUACGAGUUUGGUUUACAUUUGAAACAAUGCGGAAUAGUUUCGCAACUCACGCCACCCGGAACACCACAACUAAAUGGUGUGUCCGAACGUCGUAAUCGUACUUUACUAGAUAUGGUGCGAUCUAUGAUGUCUCUUACUGAUUUACCGCUAUCGUUUUGGGGUUAUGCUUUAGAGACAGCCGCAUUCACAUUAAAUAGGGCACCAUCAAAAUCCGUUAAGACGACGCCUUAUGAACUGUGGUUUGGCAAGAAACCAAAGUUGUCAUUCCUUAAAGUUUGGGGUUGCGAUGCUUAUGUGAAGAAACUUCAACCAGAUAAGCUCGAACCUAAAUCGGAGAAAUGUGUCUUCAUAGGAUACCCAAAAGAGACCAUUGGGUACACCUUCUAUCACAGAUCUGAGGGCAAGAUUUUUAUUGCUAAAAUCGGAUCCUUUCUAGAGAAGGAGUUUCUCUUGAAAGAAGUGAGUGGGAGGAAAGUAGAACUUGAUGAGAUAACUGUAUCUACUCCCUUGUUGGAAAGUAGUUCAUCACAAGAACCGGUUCCUGUGACAACUACACCAAUUAGUGAGGAAGCUAAUGAUAUUGAUCAUGAAACUUCAGAUCAAGUUUCUACUGAACCUCAUAGGUCUACCAGAGUAAGAUCCGCACCAGAGUGGUACGGUAAUCCUAUUCUAGAAGUCAUGUUACUUGACCAUGAUGAACCUACAAACUAUGGAGAAGCGAUGAUGAGCCCAGAUUCCGCAAAAUGGCUAGAGGCCAUGAAAUCUGAGAUGGGAUCCAUGUAUGAGAACAAAGUAUGGACUCUGGUUGACUUGCCCGAUGAUCGGCAAGCCAUUGAGAAUAAAUGGAUCUUUAAGAAGAAGACUGACGUUGAUGGUAAUGUAACUGCCUAUAAAGCUCGACUUGUUGCAAAAGGUUUUCGACAAGUUCAAGGGGUUGACUACGAUGAGACUUUCUCACCCGUAGCGAUGCUUAAGUCUGUCCGAAUCAUGUUAGCUAUUGCUGCAUUUCAUGAUUAUGAAAUCUGGCAAAUGGAUGUCAAAACUGCAUUCUUGAAUGGAUUUCUAGAAGAAGAGUUGUAUAUGAUGCAGCCAGAAGGUUUUGUUGAUCCAAAAGGUGCUAACAAAGUGUGCAAGCUCCAGCAAUCCAUUUAUGGACUGGUGCAAGCAUCUCGGAGUUGGCAUAUGGUUUUAUACAGACUUUUGGAGAAGCUUGUAUUUACAAGAAAGUGAGUGGGAGCUCUGUAGCAUUUCUGAUAUUAUAUGUAGAUGACAUAUUAUUAAUUGGAAAUGAUAUAGAAUUUCUGGAUAGCAUAAAGGGAUACUUGAAUAAAGUUUUUCAAUGAAAGAUCUAGGUGAAGCUGCUUACAUAUUGGGCAUCAAGAUCUAUAGAGAUAGAUCAAGACGCUUAAUAGGACUUUCACAAAGCACAUACCUUGAUAAAAUUUUGAAAAAGUUCAAAAUGGAUCAGGCAAAGAAAGGGUUCUUGCCCGUGCUUCAAGGUGUGAAGUUGAGUCAAACUCAAUGCCCGACGACAGCAGAAGAUAGAGAGAAAAUGAAAGAUAUUCCCUAUGCUUCAGCCAUAGGCUCUAUCAUGUAUGCAAUGCUGUGUACCAGACCUGACGUAUGCUUAGCAAUAAGUUUGGCAGGGAGGUACCAAAGUAAUCCAGGAGUGGAUCACUGGACAGCGGUCAAGAACAUCCUGAAAUACCUGAAAAGGACCAAGGAUAUGUUUCUCGUAUAUGGAGGUGACAAAGAGCUAGCCACAAAUGGUUACGUCGAUGCAAGCUUUGACACUGAUCCGGAUGAUUCUAAAUCGCAAACCGGAUACAUGUUUUUAUUAAACGGUGGAGCUGUAAGUUGGUGCAGUUCUAAACAAAGCGUCGUGGCGGGAUCUACAUGUGAAGCUGAGUACAUAGCUGCUUCGGAAGCAGCAAAUGAAGCAGUCUAGAUGAAGGAGUUCAUUUCCGAUCUAGGUGUCAUACCUAGUGCAUCGGGACCAAUGAAGAUCUUCUGUGAUAAUACUGGUGAUAUUGCUUUGGCAAAGGUAUCCAGAUUUCACAAGAGGACCAAGCACAUCAAGAGACGGUUCAAUUCCAUCCGGGACCAAGUCCAAGUGGGAGACAUAGAAAUUUGCAAGAUACAUACGGAUCUGAAUGUUGCAGACCCUUUGACUAAGCCUCUCUCACGAGCAAAACAUGAUCAGCACCAAGACUCCAUGGGUGUUAGAAUCAUUACUAUGUAAUCUAGAUUAUUGACUCUAGUGCAAGUGGGAGACUGAAGGAAAUAUGCCCUAGAGGUAAUAAUAAAGUUAUUAUUUAUUUCCUCAUAUCAUGAUAAAUGUUUAUUAUUCAUGCUAGAAUUGUAUUAACCGGAAACAUGAUACAUGUGUGAAUACAUAGACAAACAUAUAGUCACUAGUAUGCCUCUACUUGACUAGCUCAUUAAUCAAAGAUGGUUAUGUUUCCUAACCAUAGACAUGUGUUGUCAUUUGAUUAAUGGGAUCACAUCAUUAGGAGAAUGAUGUGAUUGACAUGACCCAUUCCGUUAGCCUAGCACUUGAUCGUUUAGUAUAUUGCUAUUGCUUUCUUCAUGACUUAUACAUGUUCCUGUAACUAUGAGAUUAUGCAACUCCCGUUUACCGAAGGAACACUUUGGGUACUACCAAACGUCACAACGUAACUGGGUGAUUAUAAAGGAGUACUACAGGUGUCUCCGAAGGUACAUGUUGAGUUGGCGUAUUUCGAGAUUAGGUUUUGUCACUCCGAUUGUCGGAGAGGUAUCUCUGGGCCCUCUCGGUAAUGCACAUCACUAUAAGCCUUGCAAGCAAUGUGACCAAUGAGUUGGUUACGGGAUGAUGCAUUACGUAACGAGUAAAGAGACUUGCCGGUAACGAGAUUGAACUAGGUAUUGGAUACCGACGAUCAAAUCUCGGGCAAGUAACAUACCGAUGACAAAGGGAACAACGUAUGUUGUUAUGCGGUUUGACCGAGAAAGAUCUUCAUAGAAUAUGUAGGAACCAAUACGGGCAUCCAGGUUCCGCUAUUGGUUAUUGACCGAGAAUAGUUCUAGGUCAUGUCUACAUAGUUCUCGAACCCGUACGGUCCGCACGCUUAACGUUACGAUGACAGUUUUAUUAUGAGUUUAUAAGGUUUGAUGUACCGAAGUUUGUUUGGAGUCCCGGAUGUGAUCACGGACAUGACGAGGAGUCUCGAAAUGGUCGAGACAUAAAGAUUGAUAUAUUGGACGACUACAUUCGGACACCGGAAGUGUUCCGGGUGAUUUCGGAGAAAACCGGAGUGCCGGAGGGUUACCGGAACCCCCCCCCCCCCGGGAGAGUUAAUGGGCCACAUGGGCCUUAGUGGGAAGAGAGAGGGGCGGCCAGGGUGGGCCACGCGCCCCCUCUCCCUCUGGUCCGAAUUGGACUAGGAGGGGGGCGGCGCCCCCCUCUUUCCUUCCCCCUCUCCCCCUUCCUUUCCCCCUCCUAGUAGGAGUAGGAAAGGGGGAGUCCUACUCCUACUAGGAGGAGGACUCCUCCUCCUUGGUGCACCCCAAGGGGCCGGCCAGCCUCCCCCCUUGCUCCUUUAUAUACGGGGGCAGGGGGGCACCCUAGAACACACAAGUUGAUCUACGAAUCGUUCCUUAGCCGUGUGCGGUGCCCCCCUCCACCAUAUUCCACCUCGAUCAUAUCGUCGCAGAGAUUAGGCGAAGCCCUGCGCCGGUAGAGCAUCAUCAUCGUCACCACGCCGUCGUGCUGACGGAACUCAUCCCCGAAGCUUUGCUGGAUCGGAGCCCGGGGAUCGUCAUCGAGCUGAACGUGUGCUGAACUCGGAGGUGCCGUACGUUCGGUACUUGGAUCGGUCGGAUCAUGAAGACGUACGACUACAUCAACCGCGUUGUCAUAACGCUUCCGCUUACGGUCUAUGAGGGUACGUGGACAACACUCUCCCCUCUCGUUGCUAUGCCAUCACCAUGAUCUUGCGUGUACGUAGGAAAUUUUUGAAAUUACUGCGUUCCCCAACAGUUUAUUAUUCAUGCUAGAAUUGUAUUAACCGGAAACUUGAUACAUGUGCGGAUACAUAGACAAAACACAAUGUCCCUAGUAUGCCUCUACUAGACUAGCUCGUUAAUCAAAGAUGGUUAAGUUUCCUAACCAUAGACAUGUGUUGUCAUUUGAUAAACGGGGUCACAUCAUUAGGAGAAUGAUGUGAUGGACAAGACCCAUCCGUUAGCUUAGCAUAAUGAUUGUUAAGUUUUAUUGCUAUUGCUUUCUUCAUGACUUAUACAUAUUCCUUUGACUAUGAGAUUAUGUCACUCCCGAACACCGGAGGAAUACCUUGUGUGCUAUCAAACAUCACAACAUAACUGGGUGAUUAUAAAGAUGCUCUACAGGUAUCUCCAAAGGUGUUUGUUGGGUUGGCAAAGAUCGAGAUUAGGAUUUGUCACUCCAAGUAUCAGAGAGGUAUCUCUGGGCCCUCUCGGUAAUACACAUCAUAAGAAGCCUUGCAAGCAAAGUGACUAAUGAGUUAGUUGCAGGAUGAUGCUACGGAACAAGUAAAGAGACUUGACGCUAACGAGAUUGAACUAGGUAUCAAGAUACCGACGAUCGAAUCUCGGGCAAGUACCAUACCGAUGACAAAGGGAAUAACGUAUGUUGUCAUAACGGUUCGACCGAUAAAGAUCUUCGUAGAAUAUAUGGGAGCCAAUAUGAGCAUCCAGGUUCCGCUAUUGAUUAUUGACCGGAGAGGAGUCUCGGUCAUGUCUACAUAGUUCUCGAACCCAUAGGGUCCGCAUGCUUAACGUUCGAUGACGAUUUGUAUUAUAUGAGUUAUGUGAUUUGGUGACCGAAUGUUGUUUGGAGUCCCGGGUGAGAUCACGGACAUGAUGAGGAGUCUCGAAAUGGUCGAGAGGUAAAGAUUGAUAUAUUGGAAGGUAGUAAUCGGACACCAGAAGUGUUCCGGAAUGUAUCAGGUACAUAUCGGAGUACCUGGGGGGUUGCCGAAACCCCCCGGGGGAAGAUAUGGGCCAUAUGGGCCAUAGGAGGGAGGCACACCAGCCCACAAAGGGGUGGCAAGAUCCCCACCAGGGAGGAGUCCGAAUUGGACAAGGGGAGGGGUGGCGCGCCCCUUUCCUUCUUCCCCUUUCUCUCCUUCCCCCUUCUCCCCUCCGGUAAAAGGAAGGGGGGAGAAUCCUACUAGGACCCCAAGUAGGACUCCUACCUGCGGCACGCCUAGGGCCGGCCUCCUCUCCCUUCCUCCUUUAUAUACGGGGGGCACCCCUAGAACACACAUCAAUUGUUCCAAGCCGUGUGCGGCGUCCCCCUCCAUAGUUUAUGCCUCCGGUCAUAUUCACGUAGUGCUUAGACGAAGCCCUGCGCGGAUCACUCACCAUCACCGUCACCACGCCGUCGUGCUGAUGGAACUCUCCCUUGGCACUUUGCUGGAUCAAUAGUUCGAGGGACAUCAUCGAGCUGAACUUGUGCAGAACUUGGAGGUGACGUACGUUCGGUGCUUGAUCGAUUGGAUCGAAAAGACGUUCGACUACAUCAAUAGCGUUAAGCAAACACUUCCGAUUUCGGUCUACAAGGGUACGUGGACACAUUCUCCCCUUCUCGUUGCUAUGCAUCUCCUAGAUAGAUCUUGCAUGAGCAUAGGAUUUUUUUUUGAAAUUACAUGCUACGUUCCCCAGCAGACACGUCACUUUAUGUAUAGUUGUGUUGUAACAUUGAACUGUAACGUUUGGUUGUAAUCUUCUGUUGUAUGAUCACAAUCUCCACUCCUCGUACAAGGCCUGUGUGCCCAUCAUUACGGGAGUCGUUAGGAGGAGCCCAUCCUAUUUGUACCUAUAACUGAUGUACNNNNNNNNNNNNNNNNNNNNNNNNNNNNNNNNNNNNNNNNNNNNNNNNNNNNNNNNNNNNNNNNNNNNNNNNNNNNNNNNNNNNNNNNNNNNNNNNNNNNNNNNNNNNNNNNNNNNNNNNNNNNNNNNNNNNNNNNNNNNNNNNNNNNNNNNNNNNNNNNNNNNNNNNNNNNNNNNNNNNNNNNNNNNNNNNNNNNNNNNNNNNNNNNNNNNNNNNNNNNNNNNNNNNNNNNNNNNNNNNNNNNNNNNNNNNNNNNNNNNNNCCUUCUUAUCCUACAUUCUCACUCAAUUUAAUACUUUUAUUAAGUGCAUGCAAUGUGAUAACGGUGGCGAGUUCAUAAACACCUGCCUACGCACCUUUUUCUCCAACAAUGGCAUCGUCUACCAUCUUUCUUGCCCUCACGCUUCUCCUCAAAAUGGUAAGGCUUAAUGCAUGCUCCGCACCACCAACAAUGUGUUGGAAAUAUGCCCUAGAGGCAAUAAUAAAAGGAUUAUUAUUAUAUUUCCUUGUUCGUGUUAAUUGUCUUUUAUUCAUGCUAUAAUUGUAUUAUCCGGAAAUCGUAAUACACGUGUGAAUACAUAGACCAUAACAUGUCCCUAUUGAGCCUCUAGUUGACUAGCUCGUUGAUCAACAGAUAGUCAUGGUUUCCUGACUAUGGACAUUGGAUGUCAUUGAUAACGAGAUCACAUCAUUAGGAGAAUGAUGUGAUGGACAAGACCCAAUCCUAAGCAUAGCACAAGAUCGUGUAGUUCGUUUGCUAGAGCUUUUCCAAUGUCAAGUAUCUUUUCCUUAGACCAUGAGAUCGUGUAACUCCCGGACACCGUAGGAGUGCUUUGGGUGUACCAAACGUCACAACGUAACUGGGUGACUAUAAAGGUAUACUACGGGUAUCUCCAAAAGUGUCCGUUGGGUUGACACGGAUCGAGACUGGGAUUUGUCACUCCGUAUGACGGAGAGGUAUCUCUGGGCCCACUCGGUAAUGCAUCAUCAUAAUAAGCUCAAAGUGACCAAGUGUCUGGUCACGGGAUCAUGCAUUACGGUACGAGUAAAGUGACUUGCCGGUAACGAGAUUGAACGAGGUAUUGGGAUACCGACGAUCGAAUCUUAGGCAAGUAACAUACCGAUUGACAAAGGGAAUUGUAUACGGGGUUGCUUGAAUCCUCGACAUCGUGGUUCAUCCGAUGAGAUCAUCGAGGGGCAUGUGGGAGCCAACAUGGGUAUCUAGAUCCCGCUGUUGGUUAUUGGCCGGAGAGCCGUCUCGGUCAUGUCUACGUGUCUCCCGAACCCGUAGGGUCUACACACUUAAGGUUCGGUGACGCUAGGGUUGUAGAGAUAUUAGUAUGCAGCAAACCAAAAGUUGUUCGGAGUCCCGGAUGAGAUCCCGGACGUCACGAGGAGUUCUGAAAUGGUCCGGAGGUAAAGAAUUAUAUAUGGGAAGUCAAGUUUCGGCCAUCGGGAAAGUUUCGGGGGUCACCGGUAUUGUACCGGGACCACCGGAAGGGUCCCGGGGGUCCACCGGGUGGGGCCACCUAUCCCGGAGGGCCCCAUGGGCUGAAGUGGGAGGGGAACCAGCCCUUGGUGGGCUGGUGCGCCCCCCUUGGGCCCCCCCUGCGCCUAGGGUUGGGGACCCUAGGGAAGGGGGCGCCUCCACUUGCCUUGGGGGGCAAGGCACCCCCCUUGGCCGCCGCCCCCCCCUAGGAGAUCCCAUCUCCUAGGGCCGGCGCCCCCCUGGGGACCCUAUAUAUAGAGGGGGGAGGGAGGGCAGCCGCACCCUUGCACUUGGCGCCUCCCUUCCCCCUUGCUACACCUCUCCCUCCCGCAGACGCUUGGCAAAGCCCUGCCGGGAUCCCUGCUGCAUCCACCACCACGCCGUCGUGCUGCUAGAUCUUCAUCAACCUCUCCUUCCCCCUUGCUGGAUCAAGAAGGAGGAGAUGUCACGCUGACCGUACGUGUGUUGAACGCGGAGGUGUCGUCCGUUCGGCGCUAGGAUCUCCGGUGAUUUGGAUCACGACGAGUACGACUCCCUCAACCCCGUUCUCUUGAACGCUUCCGCUCGCGAUCUACAAGGGUAUGUAGAUGCACUCCUCUCUCUAGUUGCUAGAUGAACUCAUAGAUUGAUCUUGGUGAACGUAGGAAAAAAAUUAUUUUAUGCAACGUUCCCCAACACAAUGUUGUGCGUACCCUUCUUCUUCACGCCUCCCUACCUCCUCCCUUUUGGGUAGAAGCCCUGCACACCGCCACCCACCUCUUGAACCGCCACCCCUCCACCAAGACUCACCCCUACACACCUUACUUCCUCCUAACCGGCUCUCACCCUCGCUGUGACCACCUCCAUGUCUUCGGCUACCUUUGUUUUCCUAAUCUAUAUGCGACUAGCCCUCACAAAUUGGCGCCACGCUCCACGGUGUGUUUUUCUCUUCUACCCACUCAAGCACAAGGGCUGCCGUUGUUUGGAUCUCCAAAUUCACCGCGUCAUUCUCUCUAGGCACGUCAUUUUUGACGAAACAACUUUUCCUUAUACCCCUCCCUCACCCACGGCCACAGCCACACCAGCUGCACCGAAUCCCUCUCUUGUCCCUCUGCGCAGCUCAAUCCACACUGGUAUCUGUAGCCUACCUACCUCGGACCCUGGCAUCCCACCAGAUCCCCCUCCCAUCCACCCAUCAAACCCCACGCGCCCCCAACCCCACCACCGAGUCGACCGGCUCCGGAGACCCACUCGUCACUAGCCCCGCAUUCCCCAAUCAGCGCCCGCCGGCAACCCCACCGUCCUCCACUAGCGUUGAAUCUCCCACCUCCCUUGGUUCUCCUGCAAUUCUCUCGCCUACCGUGCCUGACUCACCACCACACCCUGCACCGGGUCCCACCGUAUCUCCCUUGCAAUAUGUGCCAGCCUCUCCUAGCCCGCCACAUCACCAUGCUAUCCUGGUGCCUCUCCCGCUCAAUUCUCAUCGCAUGCAGACCCGCGCCAAACGGGGUUUCGCUCAACCCCGUCGCCUGUUCAUGUUACACACCACACCCGACGUCUCCCCUCUUCCUUCCACCUGUAAAACUGCCCUCAAAGAUCCCAAUUGGCAUGCUGCUAUGUGUGAUGAAUUUAAUGCUUUGAUUAAGAACAACACUUGGAGUUUGGUUCCUUGUCCUGCAGGCACUAAUGUGGUCACCAGCAAAUGGAUCUUCCGCCACAAACUUCAUCCCAAUGGCUCGCUAGCUCGGUAUAAAGCACGUUGGGUUCUCUACGGUUUCACCCAACAAGAGGGAGUCGAUUACACGGAGACUUUCAGUCCGGUUGUUAAACCGGUCACCAACCGCACCGUCCUCAACAUUGCCACCACCCACUUUGGGCCCAUCCAUCAACUGGAUGUCAAGAACACCUUCUUACACGGUGAUCUUGGUUAGACCGUGUACUGUUCACAACCGGUUGGUUUUCCUGACACCUCCCGUCCCAACCAUGUUUGUCUUCUCAAGAAAUCCUUAUGUGGGUUGAAACAGGCUCCCUGCACAUGGUUUUUGAGCUUCAAAUCUUACAUUCUCACUUUGGGGUUCAAGUCUUCCAAAUGUGACACCUCCUUGUUCAUCUUGCAUCAUGGCUCCUAGGUGGCAUAUCUCCUUUUAUACGUCGAUGACAUCAUUCUCACAGCCAACUCCACCUCCACCAUGCAUUCCAUCAUUCACUGAAUUUGACCGAUCGAGGUGACAUCCAUCACUUUCUCGGAGUCAAUGUCACACGAAACACUGCGGGCUUGUUCCUCACUCAACAGCAAUAUGUGUUAGAGAUUUUGGAGCGUGCAAACAUGUUGCAUUGCAACCCUAUUUCUACACUGGUGGACACGCGCUCUAAACUCUCUUCUCAUGACGACGACCCCCUCCCCAACCCCACUCUCUACCGAAGCCUUGUGGUGCCCUCCAAUAUCUCACCUUAACCAAACCCGAUAUUUCCUAUGCCGUGCAGCAGGCUUGCCUCUUCAUGCAUGCUCCUCGUACCUCCCACUUCCAGCUGCUCAAACGCAUCCUACGAUACCUCCAGGGCACUUCCCACUUCGGCCUUCAGAUCUACACGUCGCCAUCUCAUGACCUUGUUGCCUACUCUGAUGCGGAUUGGGCCGGCUGCCCGGAUACGCGCAAGUCUACCUCCGGGUUUUGUGUUUUCUUGGGCACGAACCUGAUUUCUUGGUCAUCAAAACGACAACUCACUAUUUCCCGAUCCAGUGCCAAAGCUGAAUACCGUGCGGUUGCAAAUUGCGUUGCUGCUGCUCAUCGAGGUCCGGCGUCCUCCCCUCACGCCACUCUCGUCUAUUGUGACAACAUCUCUGCGACGUAUUUGUCUUCCAAUCCAAUGCAGCACCAACGUACCAAACAUGUUGAAAUCGAUGUACCAUCGAUUCCCAGUACGCAGAUGUGUUCACCAAGGGACUGCCCACGACGAUCUUCAAUGCUUCUAGGUCCAGCCUGAACGUCCAGCCCGGUGGAGUUCCGACNNNNNNNNNNNNNNNNNNNNNNNNNNNNNNNNNNNNNNNNNNNNNNNNNNNNNNNNNNNNNNNNNNNNNNNNNNNNNNNNNNNNNNNNNNNNNNNNNNNNNNNNNNNNNNNNNNNNNNNNNNNNNNNNNNNNNNNNNNNNNNNNNNNNNNNNNNNNNNNNNNNNNNNNNNNNNNNNNNNNUUAUGUAUCGUUGUGUUGUAACGUUUGGUUGUAAUCUACUGUUGUACGAUCCCUAGUUUGUAGGAUCACGAUCUCCGCUCCUCGUACGAGGCCUGCAUGCCCAUCGUUACGGGAGUCGUUAGGAGGAGUUCGUCCUAUUUAUACCUAUAACUGUUGUACGAGUAACACACUCUGUGAACAGCGGCAUCUUCCUCCUCUAACGGGCAGUUUGAGGGCCGGCAUUAUUGGAGAUGCACCUACUCACUCCUAUACUAAUCUCCUACAGCCUGCAAAUACAAUUUCUUUAUCUUGGCCCAAAUCCAGUUUGCCACACGCACGUUGGCGCGAAAUGAAAUGCAGCUGAUUGCCCCGUAGAAUAGAAUCACCGUAGAGCGAGAGCGAGCCGAGAGAGGGAGGGGCCUUGCCCUUGCGCUAGCUCCCGGACCGUUGAAGGGGAGGGCAGGCCUAAGAAUGCACUUUCUAAUAAUAAAGCAUGCGGCGCUCCCUAAUUAUACUCCCGGCCCUCUCCCCCCCUCGGCCACCGGGGCCUCUCUUCUUCCCCUCCGCCUUCUUCCCACCCACCAUGGCACCGCGGGCGAUCGGUCGAACCCAAUCCGUGGACCGCGAACAAGACCCACGGGAAUCAUCCGCCCGCGGCUACUGAUCAUUUCGAUCCGUUUCUCCUCCCAACGCUUUCGGCUCUGCGCGCGCCGGCUCAUCCUUUUGCCUCCGGCUUUGCACUCGACGCACGCACGUCGCUCGAGGCCCCGGAAAGCUGCGCGCUUUACAGGUACGUACGCCGGUAUCAUCAGUCAUAAUCAUAAUGUGAGUUCUUGAGUACGCCUCGCUGUCCAUCCAAUCCUUGAGGAGAAAGCUAGGUCAUGAAGCAUACAUACGUGCCGUUUUGAAGUUACGGUAGGUAGAUCGGGCGACGAUGGCGGCCAACGGCGGGUCGCUGGAGCGGCGGGGCUCCAUGCGGCGGUCGGGGAGCAAGGCGAAGGAGGAGCCGGCGGCCGACCACCGCGCCGAGGACCAUGGCACAGGACCUUCCGGUAAGUAGCAGUCAAGAUCGAUCGGUUGCCCUUCCGGCCGGUACGUUGGCUAGCUCUGAAGAGGCGUCGGUCGUUUGCAUUGCAUGCAGACAUUGAAGUGAUCAAGGAGAAGUUCGGCAAGCUGCUGCUCGGGGAGGACAUGUCGGGGUCCGGCAAAGGCGUGCCGUCCGCGCUGGCCCUCUCCAACGCCAUCACUAAUCUUGCAGGUCACAACCUAGCUACCUUCCUACUACCUAGGAGUAGUUACUACGUAGGAGUACUUGCCAAAUCAAGUUGUUCUCAUCCAUAUGGAAUGAAAGGGUUGCAAAAUAAAAUGCCAAGAAAAAAGCUGACGGUUACAGUAAUGUUGGCAGCUGCUGUGUUCGGCGAACAACGCAAGUUGGAGCCCAUGGCCCCCGACAGAAAGGCGAGGUGGAAGAAAGAAGUGGGCUGGCUCCUGUCCGUGGCGGAUCAGAUCGUGGAGUUCGUCGCCAAGAAACAAGUCCUGGACAACGGCGUCGAAAUGGAGGUUCGGUUGAACAACAGCUUCUUCUUCUUCUUCUUUUGCCCGGUCGCUCUGGUAAUCUCCUUCCUUGCACUGCUCUGCUCGCUGCAGGUAAUGGGCACGCAGCAGCGAAGGGAUCUGCAGUCCAACAUACCGGCAUUGCGCAAGAUCGACGCCAUGCUUCUCGUAAGAAACAUCAACUUUCCAAGCAAAUGCCACCUAGCUAGCUAGCGCAUAUGUAUGUAGCUGAAACUCGUACCACCUUUGCGGUUUUCUAGGAUUACCUGGACGCCUUCAAGGACCGCACCGACUUUUGGUACGUAAAGCGCGACUCGUGCUCGGACGCCGAGAAGGAGGAGUCCAACACAUCGGAAGAGAAGUGGUGGAUACCCAUCGUGAAGGUCCCUCCCAACGGGCUGCCCCCGGCGUCCAGAGCCUGGAUCCAGCACCAGAAGGAGCUGGUGAACCAGGUGCUCAAGGCGGCCAUGGCCAUCAACGCCAACUGCCUCAUGGAGAUGGCCAUCCCAGAGUCCUACCUAGAGUCGCUGCCCAAGGUACGUCCUCUGAAUAGAAUACCAUCAUCUUCAUCGUUCUCUGACCACACGAAGCUAGCUGUUGUUGAUAUGAAAAUGAAAAUGGGACGCAGAACGGGCGGGCGAGCCUCGGGGACGCGCUGUACCGGAUCAUCACGGACGUGGAGUUCGACCCGGACGACUUCCUGUCGACGGUGGACCUGACGUCGGAGCACAAGAUCCUGGACCUCAAGGACCGCAUCGAGGCGUCGGUCAUCAUCUGGAACAGGAAGGUGCACAACAAGGACGGCAAGUCCGCCUGGGGCUCCGCCGUCAGCCAGGAGAAGCGGGAGCAGUUCGAGGAGCGGGCGCAGACGCUGCUGCUCAUCAUCAAGCACAGGUUCCCCGGCAUCCCCCAGUCCACCCUCGACAUCGCAAAGAUACAAGAAAACAGGGUACGUAUUGAUGCAACAAUCACACAUAUUACCUAAAUUUCAAGUGCUAGCUAGCUAAUUUGGUGAUGCACGUUAAUUAAUUCAGUUUUGCUAAGUCUCAAUCAGUGAGACUUCGUUAUGUCUCAGUCGACUGAGACCUAGACACACUCUAAUUAAUUUCCUUGGCUGGCUGGCUGGCUGACGACUAUAGGACGUGGGAUUUGCUCUCCUGGAGAGCUACUCCAGGAUCCUCGAGAGCCUGGCCUUCAACGUCAUGUCCAGGAUAGAGGACGUGAUCGUCGCCGACAACGUGGCCAGGGAGAAGGCCAAGAAGGACGCGCCGCCCGGCUCGAUCUCGGAGGCGCCCCCCCAGGUCCCCGAUGGUGCAGACAGCAUGACGCUGCUCGACUUCAUGGGCUGGAACGGCGACUCGGAGGGGAGGUCCGACGACCAGUCCCCGUCGGCGGUGGACCCGGCGCAGGACGACGGGAGGCUCAUGAAGCUGCCCAACAUCAUGACCAACCUUUUUAUGAAAACGUCACAGUGAUGGGAUAUUUUUCCCCUUUUUAUGAACUUCUACUACUUUGUCAUCAACAAAAAGAUGAAUGCCGUCCAAUUACUGCAUCUAUUUUGUACCAGGCUACCAGCACAUGGUAGAAAACCAAAAGGCCUCGAGUAGAGAGUUCAUUAAUUGUUGUAAAAAUACUAGUUUCAACAGAUAUGUCAAUAGGGGAACCAUAAUCAUAUACUCCCUCCAUCCAUAUAUAUAUAUAUAUAGGGGCUAAUUCGUCUUUCAAGGUAGCCUUUGACCAAUGAUAAAAUUAUUAGUAUAUGAGAUGUAUGAUAUAAAAAUUAUAUCACUAGAAACUCUUUUCACAUACGAACUUGAUGAUAUGAUUUGUGUAACAUGCAUGUCAUAUAUUAUUGUGCUAACCCGUGGUCAAAGGUAACCUCAAAAAAUGUAUCAGGCCCUAUAUUAUAAGUGGAAAGAGGGAGUACUAUAAUGCAUACAAUUCCAUGCAACUUAUGAAUAAAUAAGGCAGAAAGUGAUAAUUACAUUAUCUUGCACAUGCAGCUAGAGUACGUACCGGAAUGGUUCAUAUGACAGGCAUUCGAAUUGUCCGUAUUGAAUAAUUCUUUUGUGGCUGAAACCCAAAGCAUAAGACAUUAUAUUUACUCUUUGUUCAGUUCAGCACGAAACAGAAUUUAGAUAAUCAGUACCCUAAUAUUCUGCAAUGGAUCAUAUGAUGAAGAACCUAUAAGAACAGUGAGUCCAAAAUAGGCAGCAACGCCAGCGCCUAUAAUAUUAUAUUGAAACGCUAGCUACCUCGGCGUGAGUUUCAAUAUAAUGCCUUUGGCGUUUCUUACCUGGUCCGAAACGCUAGCUACCUCGGCGUUUCUUCUUGGUCAGAAACGCUAGCUACCUCGGCGUUUCUAUGUUGGGCAGAAACGCCGCGGGCUGUGGCGUUGCUAAAAGGGUUAGAUCGUAAAAUACUUUUACGUCGAGUUCAUUUUGUGACAAAGUUUGUUGAAAGAGUCAGAAUAGUGAAAAAGUCCGAGACAACACGAAUUGAAUGGAACUUGUCGAUGGGCCUACAUGGGCUUUUGGUCGUCGAUUGACUUGAUGAAGGAGAUGAUCUCUAGCUCUGUGCGCGGAGCAGCGGUCCAAUUACGUGGGCUGAGUGGACUACAAUAAUGACGGGUGAAAGGGCACUACGACGCUGGGUGAGACAAUUGAACAAAUCUGAGCCUUUUCUUUGCUGGAUCCGACGGCUGACAGCAUCAAAUUGCUGUUGUGGCUUGUAGGUGCCCCAUUAUACUGUUUCUUAAUACAUUUUUGCCUGACAUUAAAUUAGGUUUCAGCUUUCCACAUAUAUUGCCACUCUUUUUCAAGAUUUCUUAGGGCAACUCGAAGCGGAUCACCAAAACCGCAAAACGGACCUGAUGUUCGGGUGUGUCCUGAACAGGGAUAGGGGUGGAGGCUAUCUAAAUGUCCACUCCUAGUUUUUUCCAUAUACCCGGACUAACAAAAAACAAAGAUAAAUAGCAUAUACUCCCUCUGUUCCUUAAUAUUUGUCUUUUUAAAGAUUUCAUAUGGACUACCACAUACGGAUGUAUAUAGACAUAUUUUAGAGUGUAGAUUCACUCAUUUUGCUUCGUAUCUAGUCACUUGUUGAAAUCUCUAGAAAGACAAACAUUUAGGAAUGGGGGGAGUAAUUUUUAAGCAAUUGAAAGAUAAAUAUUCUAAUGCAACAAUAAUUCAAAUAAAUAUAUUACAAUCCAAACAUAAAGUUUUGAAAUGAAAUGUUUAAGUUUGAAUCAUCAUAGUCGGACACAUGUUCUAUUUAUGAAACGCCCAAAGGUGCCUAGCCAGAUCAUUUUGCAGCUGCUCACGAGUUCCUUGACGUCAAAUUUGAUGAUGCAUUUAGAUAAAAUCCUCAAAUUUCUCUGGAUUCUGCCAUGGACCGAACACUUGUCGUGCGUGGUGUCUGCCAUAGACGGCGUCAGAAGAUAGCUGAGGAUACUUGAGUUGCGACUAGAUAGCCGGUGGAACGGCUGAAUAAUCCAAGGUGGGAAGGCGCUUGGGUGGAACACCAGAGGUCCGGCAAAGCCUGGAUAGAGUGCGGUGGGAGGGACGGAAUGAGGGAAAAGAGGCUUCAGGUUGGGAUAUUUUGGGUGUGUCAGACGUUCGGAUGCCCGCAAACCUCCCUUACGUUUAUGAGAUUUCAGCCAUCCAAACCAAUUCAUCCAUUUAUGGUGACCAUUCAAUAUCUAAGGGCAACACAGAUCAUCAAAUUUGAGAUGGCAGAAAAUGACUGAAUCGUCCGGUCUGGACAUUUGCGGGCAAUCUAGUGAUCAGCAACGGAGUUGCCCUUUAGAUGCCCUACGGGUUUGUUACACCUAAGCCAUCAAGACAUCUUCCUCUUCUCUCUUGUAUUCUUCUACUAGUUGAUUCAUUAUCUCUACCGUGUCACGUGAAAUGAAUUUGGGUUUCUGACAAGAGAACAGUAUAAUGAAGUUGGUAUUACGACGGACUGUAUUUUUAUGUUGCUCACAUGCUGAAUUUCUCAAAACAACGUAAACAUAAAACUUACACAAAAACAAAAUGGCGCGGCUAUUGCUUCAAGUUAUGUUUAUACUUGACUAAGGGGCCGUUCGGAAUCCCACCAGCUCCGGAGAGCUGCUGAGCCAGUAAACUGGCACUCCGCAAAACUCCACCAGCUCCGGGAGUGGAGCUGUGGAGCGGAGUACCUCCGAACAAGGCCUAAGCAAAAGAUCUUCCAGCCUGAGCUCAGAAACAACUAAAAGCACCGUAUGCAACAAACGAAAACGCUCGUACAGCUGACAAACAUUAGCUUCCCAAAACUAUGCAUUAUACAGCGCUGCAGGAUAAAUACCACAGCAUUCAAGGGUACGAAAGCAUCACAACUGCAGCUUAUUCGGGAUUCGAAAUCACCAUCAUCUUUAAUCCGGUGUGUACAAAACUGUCUCAGACAACAAGUUUAGCGAGUCUACAAGGCAAAUUCUUGAGUUCAGCCAGUAGUAACACACCUCUGGUUGAACCUUCGGACACUGCUGUAGGCAAUUUAACAUUUUAUUGGGAAGGGGUUGCAAUGUUAUCAUUCACUUCAGUUUUGUAACUGCAGCAUGUAUGGCAUCUGCAAGAUGGGGUACAGUCCUGGAGCUCAAACCGGCCAUGCUGAUCCUCCUGUAAGAGAAAUAUACGACUUGUCAAUAUGAAUAUGAAAUUGCUACAGGUGACUCUUGAGAAUGAAAACCACCAAAGAAAGCAAAUGUUCAUAAACAUAACGACUGCAAAAGAAGACAUCAAAGUUACUCCCUCCGUCCCAUAAUGUAGGACGUAGUGCCAAAAAACGUCUUACAUUAUAAGACGGAGGGAGUACACUACUAAUGCAUUUUUGGCGCCAUAUGUAAAUGGGUGAGAAUUCACGAGGCAUUACCCAUCAGAUGUCAUGUAAAUGUGAUAUUCCUGCCUCAUGAAGGCUACUUGCUCACUGUUGAGCCCAGUGAAAGUAAACAUCCCAAUCUGCUUAAUGAUGUGGGACCAAUCUCCAGGUGUUUCUGCAUGAUAUGACAAAUGGUCAACACUUUGGUAUAGAGGAAUUAAUAAAAAAUGGAUCAAAAGAUUGAACAUCCAUAACUUGGAGAUCGAUGGACCUGAACCAGAACACUCACUGCACUACAUGAACUUCAAAUUUCAGGGAUCUUAACAGGAACUUAGUAAUAAACCAUAUACAAAUAUAGGAGAUCAGAUAUUUAUCAGAUUUUGCUAAUAACCCAAGACGUUUCUGUUCAGAAAUCAGAAUAACUGUUCAGAAAUCAGAAUAACGUAAUACUAAUAUCCAAAGAACAAUUAGUUCAUAGAAAUUGUAUCAAUUGCUGAAAAUAAAAUGAUACUAGGUUCUGAUAGAAGAUCCUGGGAGAAAAAGGCCAUUAGUCAGACAUUAACUAUGUUAUUAACAGCAAAGAGGAAACACUGGACUUCGACAGAAACUAGUACCUCUGAUUUUCAGCGCAUCAAAAAGCUGCUCCCUCAUGCUAAUUAUCCUAUCAGCCAUGGCCUUCAGCUCCACGGUCCAUUCGUCGAACAUAGCACUACAAAUUGACAAAAAAUAGUCAAUAAGAACUAAGCACUACCAAUUAUAAGAUUUGUCGAUCUGCCAAUAAAAAUUCAUUUGAACAUAACUCAUUCUAUGAUUGAAUAGAAUAGUACCUGUCCUUAAGUAUGGUAGCCACAAUAGAAGCACCAUGAAGAGGAGGGUUCGAAUACAUAGGCCUAAUUACAAGCUUAAGUUGACUUUCAACCUUAACAGCUAUAUCAGCACUCCCACAAACCUAAAACAUCAAGUUGGAUUUUUCUUUCAGUUCCUCCAACAACUCAGUAAAAUGAAAAAUAUGAGAUGCAAUACAGCCUCUUAUGUAUGACACAAGUUCACCAAGUACAUCUACUAUCUCAUUAAAAGAAGGUUAAAAGAAGUUUCCAUGUCAUAGUGAGGUAUGAGUAGAUAAGAAUUAUUACAGUUGUAUAAGAUAUACAACUGCAAUUAUAGCUGUAUAGCAAACACCUGUAUGUAACUAUAACUCUAUGCAUUUUAGCAUAUCGGAUCACACAACUGCGGAGGCAAUUCUGGAAGUUAACUAUUACCAUCAACACAGCAAGAAGAUGCCUACAAGCUCGAAUUCAAGUCCAAAAACUAAGGGUAAGGC
RNAcentral lists this long non-coding RNA (74326 nucleotides) under Triticum aestivum (bread wheat). RNAcentral's name for it is "long non-coding RNA (TAES_LNC027572)". Lineage: Eukaryota; Viridiplantae; Streptophyta; Magnoliopsida; Poales; Poaceae. The record is from RNAcentral.